Molecule: long non-coding RNA, 66283 nt
Filed under: Brassica napus (rape)
Lineage: Eukaryota; Viridiplantae; Streptophyta; Magnoliopsida; Brassicales; Brassicaceae
Description: long non-coding RNA (BNAP_LNC001244)
Source: RNAcentral
AGGCAUCACGUUGAGACAGGAGAGAUAUGCUUCACGUAUUCUUGCUGAGACAGGUAUGAACGACUGCAAUCCCACACAUGUACCGAUGGAUAUGAAUCUGAAGUUAUCCAAAGCUACCGAUGAGAAGGGUGUUGAUGAGAAGAAAUACAGAAGAAGCAUUGGAUGCUUACGAUAUCUUAUCCACACACGCCCUGACCUGUCAUACAGCAUUGGAGUUCUUAGCAGGUAUAUGCUUGAUCCUAAAGUCUCUCACGAUGGAGCUUUGAAGCAGGUUCUGAGGUAUUUGCGUGGAACCAGCACUUAUGGACUCACUUACACGCGCGCUGAUACUGUAAGGUUGCUAGGAUACAGUGACAGUUCUCUCACCGUCGAUGAUGAUGAUGGUAGAAGCGUAACAGGACACAUAUUCUACCUCAACGACAGUCCUAUCACCUGGUGUUCUCAGAAGCAAAAAAGCGUGGCACUAUCAUCUUGCGAGGCUGAGUUCAUGGCAGCCACUGAAGCUGCGAAACAGGCCAUAUGGCUUCAAGAACUUCUAAGCGAGAUCAUUGGAGGAGAAUGUGAGGCAGUAACCAUCCGAGUUGAUAAUAAGUCCGCUAUCUCUCUUACGAAAAACCCUGUUUUCCAUGGCCGCUCUAAACAUAUUCACCGAAGAUAUCAUUUCAUAAGGGAGUGUGUCGAGAAUGGUCAAGUGGAGGUGGAGCACGUUUCAGGAAGCUUGCAGAAAGCGGAUAUCUUGACUAAAGGACUCGGGAAGAUCAGAUUCACAGAGAUGAGAGAACUUAUUGGAGUUGUAGAUGCAGCACAGGUUCACUUCAAGCUUAAGGGGGAGUAUGUUGGAGUAAGCAUGAAGUUAACAAGACAAGGAGAAUGACGUGUGAAGCAAGCUAAACAUAGUCCUAAUCUAUUUGAGUUUGAGAUAUGGAUAAAGAUGUUUUAGGAGUUAUCUAUAAGCAUGAUAAUAGGAUCUAUGUUUAGUUAUAUAAAUACAUCCAUCGAGUUAUGAUGAGAUUGUAUGAGUUUGAGGGAUUAAAGGUUUUGAGUAAGUUUUACCUUUGAGGUUAAUAUAAGAGAGUUAUUCUUAUUCUUAUUCUUCAUUCACAUACACAAUCCAUAAGCAAUCUAACGUAGAGUUUCAACAGUUUCUUCUUCUUUCUCCUCCAUUGUUACGUGAGCUCAAGUUCCUGUAAUGUUUUCAUUUACAUUUUUUUUUCGUGCACAUAAAAGGUUUCUUUUUCGUUUGCUAUAUCAAAUCUAGCUAAAUCAAAGCAAAUUGAAAGAAAAUUCUUUAUAAAUCAAUGAAGAACAAAUGGUUAAUUAGAUUUGAAUUAUAAACCGGAGUUUUCAAUAAAACCAGGUCACCGGUUCUUACGGUUUUUGGCCGAUUUUACCGGUUCAACUCACAUCCGGUUUUAGAACUGACCCGGACUCGGCUAGGUGUGGGAGUCACGGUUGAACCGGUCCAACCGGCCGGUCCAGUCCGGGUUUCAAAACCUUGGGUGGAAGAGAAGUAAACAGCAUAAAGAAAACCAAAAGGGGGUUCGCGUUUCAGAAGCGAAGCCACCACCACACCCUUUCUUUCUUAUUCUUGGGAGUUCAGUGGUGGUGAUCGCCAUGUCCGUCAGGAGGUCCCCCAGGACCAACCACUUGAAGCUAUCAAUCAUUAAACCCAUUUUGCAGUGAUAAGUUUAUGAAACUUAAUUUGCUUUGUAGAUUUAAAGAGAAGCUAGGAUACAUACAUACCUUAAAGUACUGGGAACACACAGGGCACUCAAAAGACUUGCCUUUCUCCAGCCAAAACCAGACAACGUCAUGCUCAUCCUCUGCCGUUCAAAAGAUAUAUCUCUCUUUGCUCCACAUUAAAGUGGGUAAGAUAUGAUAUCUGAUACGUAGAGAGAAAGAGAAAAAGAAGAACACCUGCUUCACCUCCUGGGCAACCAACUAUUCUCAUGUGGUAGUAGGAUUUGACUAUAGCAGGAGCUUACUGUAGCAGAGAUAAAGUAAAAGUGAAAACAAGAAUCUCAGUCUAUCCCAUGUUGAUUUCAUCCAAGACAGUAGUAACCUUUGUUCCAAAAGGACCCUCGGGAAAGUCUAUAUCGAGCAGCUUCCUUCCCUGGUGAAUGGUGAAGUAAUAGCAAUCAGAAUCUGAUGAAAGUGUAAUGAGAAUACAUCACAGAGCCUUUGCAGAUUAUGAAAAUUUAAAGUAACAUACCAUUAAUGUGGUGUAGCUAUAAGCUUAAGCUAUCUCAAAUUAUGAAUCAGUCUCACAGAGUAACAUUUCAGCAUCAUCAAACAAGAAAGAGGAAUGCUUUUGACCAUCGACUUCCCCCCUGGCUACGUUGUUUCGACAUUAAUUUUAAAUAAACAGACGUAACUAUGAAACAACAAAAAUAAAGGAUCAAAUUUUCGGGAUUUUUGAACCCGACGUGAAUCGAACACGCAACCUUCUGAUCUGGAGUCAGACGCGCUACCAUUGCGCCACGGAUCCUUGGUGCUUAAUUACGUAUCUUAAUUAUAAAUCACAUCAAAUUUAAAUUGAUUUACCGACGAGAGGUUGAUAGAUGAAUUAGGGUUUAUUGUUUGCGUCUCCUUCCUUCCCCCUUGCUGACUAUUACUCUGACUUGGAGUCUCCAUUAUUUUAAAACCCAGGUGGUGAGGAGGACAAGCACUAAAUCGCCAGCUGCUUUCUUAUUUGAAGCCUGUUUAAUUCCAUUUAGGUGAGCCGACUAGUCCAUGUUAGCUAACGGUUUUGGUUUUUAUUGGUUCAGCCAUUGAUUUAGUAUUUGGAUUGUUGCUGUUAGAAACAAAGUGUUCUUUAUGCCCUUCCUUCUCUUAGGAAGACUUAAAAGAUGGAGGAACUCAGCGAAGUCUUGAAGAACAAUAGGACGCAAGAUAUCUCUUGGCUUUGCUCUCUUUCAGAACCUGAACUGGUAGUUAUAUUUAUUUAUUUACUUGGAGACGAGGAAACCCAUUCAACGAUUGUUAUUACCAAUCCUCCUCACCAAAAUUCGUUUUUGCAGGAUUUGCUCAUCAGCUUAAAGAAGCUAGCCAUUCAUCGAGCUGAAAUAACUGAUCACUACGAACUUGCUGAUUAUUUUGAUCUCAAGUUGCUCCGCGCUCUCGGUAUGUCUUGUGUUUUUGCUUCUAUGUUGCACAAUCAUGAUUCUUAUUGUGAAGCUUUCCAUCUUUUACAAGUAUGUUACUUGGGGGUAUAUGACAGGGCUUGUGCUAAUGGAAUAUGUAAGAAAAAAGGAUACCUCCCUUGUCCCAAGCGCUGUUCAUCAACUGAUGGGUUUGGAUAAAUGCAAUCUGUUGAAAACUCAUGUCGAUGAUACAACAAUAGACAUUGAGGAGAUAGUGACCGGAAUCUGCAAAAUGAAAAAGAAAAAGAAGAAGAAGAAGAGAAAACCCAUCAGAUUAAGAAGUAAAUCUCUCAAAAGGUUGGUUGGUUGGUUAUUCUAAUCACUACUUGGAUCUACUUUUUUCCUUACUAGCUAAAUUUUUAUGCCUUGGUUUCGUGUUUGAAGGAGGCGUUAUAAGUAGCUGUGGUUGCGGUGGGGGAGAAAAGACUCUUCAACCAAUAAUCAGGAUAUUUAACAGCCAGAAGGAGCACAAAAGAUGGAUUUUGAUGAAAAAUGCAUAAGCAUGGUCAUGGACAUGGUGGACGCAACGAUGCAGGGGUGGCUUCCUUGAAUAUUUAGUUAGCUUCUUUUGCCAAGCAAGUAGCUUACUUUGUGCUGUCUUGUGGCAGAUUUAGAAAAGCUGCAUCUUUCAUAGUAAAGGCAUUAUGAUGAUUUUAUAUCAAAGAUGCUUUAGUUUGAGGACCCAAGUGUAUCUUUAUCAUCGCUUUGUAUUCAAAUGUUAAAGAAGUUCAGAGGCGCAGGGUUUUUCUUAAAUUUUUUAAAAUGGGUGGGGCUAUAACAUGAUUAGUACCGAGUGGAAGUCCUCAAAGUGCAAAAAAACAAAAGUAUUUGUGAAUAAAAAGGAUAUGUUCUGGUAAUUACUGGUAACUGCGACGGGCUUACUUUACCAAUGGGCCUGAGAUCUCUCUCUCUCUCUGAGAUUCACCUAAACUAGCAAAGCUUCUUCGCUUUCCCUCGUAUGACUGCGGAAAUCAAAAUAUAUAGGUAGCGGAAGGAAACCAACAAUUAUGGAGUCGCCGGUUCGAGUUGAUCGGACUGGCUUAGAAACAACCCUAACUCCGGGGGCGAUGUGCAGUCGCAGAGUUUGGUCANNNNNNNNNNNNNNNNNNNNNNNNNNNNNNNNNNNNNNNNNNNNNNNNNNNNNNNNNNNNNNNNNNNNNNNNNNNNNNNNNNNNNNNNNNNNNNNNNNNNNNNNNNNNNNNNNNNNNNNNNNNNNNNNNNNNNNNNNNNNNNNNNNNNNNNNNNNNNNNNNNNNNNNNNNNNNNNNNNNNNNNNNNNNNNNNNNNNNNNNNNNNNNNNNNNNNNNNNNNNNNNNNNNNNNNNNNNNNNNNNNNNNNNNNNNNNNNNNNNNNNNNNNNNNNNNNNNNNNNNNNNNNNNNNNNNNNNNNNNNNNNNNNNNNNNNNNNNNNNNNNNNNNNNNNNNNNNNNNNNNNNNNNNNNNNNNNNNNNNNNNNNNNNNNNNNNNNNNNNNNNNNNNNNNNNNNNNNNNNNNNNNNNNNNNNNNNNNNNNNNNNNNNNNNNNCUGCCUAUAUAUAUAUAUAUAUAUAUAUAUUCUUUUUUAUUCAAGAGAUAAAUUUGUGUAUAUCUAAUCUUUUUUCUCUAUUUGGUAGUCUGUGUUCAGGUGCUGAAUACCUUUUACAAGUUGUGCGAGGUGCUAUCCCUCAUGCGUAUUUUGAUCCAAGUUAUUCUAUUUCCACUUCUGAAGUUGCUGUCCACGUUCUUGAUUUCCUUUACAAGAAGUUGGAUCAAGUAUGCCUUGUCCAAGGUGGUGAGGUUUGUUGCCUUUCUCAUUCUGUUUUUAUGUUUUUUUUUCACUUCGUUUUUUAUUUCUUCCCAAGCUGGUGUAUUGAUAUUAUCUGGAUCUCAGGUGGAAGGAUUUCACAUGCUGCUGCAAAUCUUCGCUGGAACUUUAUUGCCUUAUAUAGAGGGUUUGGAUUCGUGGUUGUUUGACGGAACUCUUGAUGAUCCUUUUGGUGAGGUACGUAUUCUUGCAGUUGUAUCUAUCUUCUAUGUCUCUUCUUAAAUUUCUUUAUAGCAGUUUAACAUGCAUCAAUGACUUCUUUGCAAGGCUAGCUGAUUGAAAGUUUAAUGAUGAUGAUAAAUCUUUGGUUGUGGUUUUUUGCUCUUCGCAGUUGUUUUUUACAGCCAAUCAAUCCGUCUCUGUCAACGAUGCAGAGUUUUGGGAGAAAAGUUAUAUCUUGAUGAAGGUGCCGGGCCCAAAGUCAAAUGAAAAGAAAGGACUGAGUGGAACUGACUCCAGUUCAGUUUCUGACAAAGAGCAGAACAAUCGGGUGCUAUGCCCAUUAUUCUUAAAAGACAUCUCUAAAUCGAUUGUUUCUGCUGGGAAAUCAUUGCAGCUGAUGCAGCGUAUUCCUUCCACGUCUUCAGAGAUUCAUUGCCAUGGGAGAAAUUGUUUUGGGAAUUCUACACUACCGGCGAAAUACAACAAUAGUAGGAGCACUGCAGACUUAUCCUUGUCUGAAAUCUUUUGUCUAACGCUUGCUGGCCUUAUAGGCCAUGGUGAUCACGUCUCUAGAUAUCUGUGGAAAGAUGAGGCGGAUGAGUGGGAGAUUUCUCCAACUUUAGCAUCAUAUAUAGGUGUAGAGCUGGGGAGUGACAUGGUUGACAAAGAUCUUCCAGUUCUCACGGGCUCAGAGCGAAUGUGGUAUAAGUUGUUGGUCGGUGCGGUGCAAGAGAAAAGAGCUAUGGAGGCCAAAUCAGAACACCAGAGUGCAUGUUAUCUUACUGGUGUGAAGGACGGAAAAACUAGCCUCACUGUCAAAAAGGCAUUGCAGGGUUUAUUCUGUCAUGAAAACCCUGUUGUUUCAGUAUCUAAAAUGGAUCUUGAGAGGAAUAAGAAUGCUUGGAAUGUCUUGAACUUGUCACACAACUACUGUCUACCGUCUCUAAAUGAUGAGAGUUUGUUGGGUGCUAUUUUUGAGGAAUCUGGCCUGGCAGAUGCUGGAUUGAGCGGCACAAACUACAAAUUUGGAUUCCAAUUUGGUACAUCUGAAUAUCUUUCUUCUCAGGAUGACACCGAAGUUCUUGAAACGUUGUUUCCCUUUCCCACUUUGCUUCCGUCAUUCCAGGUACUUUGAUAGUGAUGAUAUAAUCAUUCUAUGUCCACUCCUUAACUUUUAUUCCACGUGCAAUAGUUUCUGAUAGCUGACUUUGGAAUCUUUGUUAUCAACAAUAAAAACAAAAGCCGGAGCUCCAUAUGUCAGAGUUCCUACCUUUCCAAAAGAAUAGUACCCUUCUUUCAAAAGUUCUCAGCUGGAUGCUAAAGGCAGAGCCAAGGGAUGCUCCGCUUCCUGUUGUAAUAAUGCAAGAAUGCUUCACAAUCUACAUCAGGAGGCAGGUACGGUGAUAUAUGCUUUGCAGUGCCGUUUGUUUCUAUGGCAUUGCAUACUUUUGUGAGCUUAUGAAAGUUGUGCGUGUUGUAGGUGGACUACAUUGGCAAAAUGAUUUUAUCAAAACUAAUGAAUGAUUGGAAAUUGAUGCACGAACUUGCCGUGUUGCGUGCCAUUUACUUGUUAGGUUCAGGUAGGUUUUAUGUGCUUCAGCAUCUUUGUCUACAUGGCCUGUAUCUGGAAUCUUAACGAAACCGUAAAAUUUUCAGGGGACCUUCUGCAGCAUUUUCUGACUGUCAUAUUCAACAAGUUGGGCAAGGGAGAGUUAACAAAUGAUGAUUUUGAGUUGAACAUAAUCCUUCAGGUAACCAAGUUUGAUUUAGCUCUUUCUACUAAAACUGCCGUAUAUCGUGUUCACACAAACAAGGUUGAUUCCAAAUUUGAAUGGUUAUCUACAGGAAUCAAUUAGGAAUUCAGCUGAUGCCAUGCUGUUAAACAGUCCUGAUUCGUUGGUGGUAUCUAUUUCCAGAGAAGGUUGUUUAGACAAAGACAAAGAUGACAAGGGUGAUGUAGUACCCCUUUCUUCCACUCGUAAAAGCCGUAUUAACAACUUUGGGAUAGACUGCCUCGAGUCUCUCAAAUUCACAUACAAGGUACAGAGAAAGACAUUUACUCGUCCAACCAGUUGCAGCGUAUUAACAUUUUUGUGUAUUUAAAUAUCCAAACUAUUUUUGAAGGUGCCAUGGCCGCUUGAGCUUAUUGCCAAUAGUGAGGCCAUUAAGAAGUAUAACCAGGUAACCCUUUCUCAUCUGUAUUUUUUUGGGGAAACAGUUUGUCGUUCUCAUGUGUUAAUUAUUUAAAUGAAAACAGGUGAUGGGAUUUUUGCUGAAGGUCAAACGAGCAAAAUAUGUGCUAGAUAAAGCACGAAGGUGGAUGUGGAAGGUUCUUGCUCAUUUCUUUCUUCUUAGAAUGUUUCAUGUGACAUCUAAAUACACUUUCAAAGGGGCUAAUCAAUGUUAUGAUCAAUAUGGAUAAAUAUAAAGAGUAUUGAUAAUAACGUGGUGUAGUUUGAUAAAAUUUGUGAUUUGGUGCGUUUGUGUAUGUGAUAGGGUAAAGGCUCAGCAACAAAAAUCCGCAAGCACCACUGGUUACUUGAACAAAAGCUACUUAAUUUUGUGGAUGCUUUUCAUCAAUACGUAAUGGACAGGGUAAUGUCUGAUACUAUAUGAUUGAUUAUGAUUACAGUAUCAUUUUCGUUGAAGUAAUAUAUGUGGAAGAGCUGUGGGCAAAAUAGAAAGUUGAUCUUACGGCUUCAAUAAUAUACUUACUGGAUCUUGUAAACAGGUAUAUCACACAGCAUGGCGCGAACUGUGCGAAGCAAUGGUAAAAGCAGGGUCUCUAGACGAGGUCAUAUAUGUACAUGAGACCUACUUGUUAUCGAUUCAGAGGCAAUGCUUUGUGGUUCAAGAAAAGCUGGUACAUGGACCAUUACAUUAUCUCUUCAGUUGCAUAAGAUUUUGUGUGUGUGAAUUUGUGGCGCCAGAAAACUAAGUGUUUCAUGUUUGAUGGUUGCUGUGUAGUGGGCAAUCAUCGCAAGUCGGAUCAACAUGAUUCUCGGAUUAGCUCUGGAGUUCUACUCGAUACAACAGACUCUGAGCAGCGGUGGAGCAGUCUCAGCAGCGAUCAAGGCUAGAUGCGAAAUGGAAAUAGACCGCAUUGAGAAACAAUUUGAAGACUGCAUAGCUUUCCUCCUUAGAGUAAGGCCAUCGAAUCUAAAACUCUGUAUACUUGUUAGUUGUAAUAUGAAAGCUUAGUUGAUUAUUGAAUCUGUAGGUACUGUCUUCGAAGCUGAAUGUGGGACACUUUCCUCAUUUGGCUGAUUUAGUGACCAGAAUCAAUUACAAUUAUCACUACAUGUCCGACACUGGAAGCUUGAUGACUGUUUCUGGAGCAGAGACCAGCUCAUCUAGAACAUGAACUGCCAAAUAUGAUGUCUGAAUCGACCAAUCUGAGACGGGGGAAAUCUUUGGAUGGUCUCAGACUUUUCGUCAGUUCUUUCGUAGUAGCUUUCAAAGCUUUUAAAAUAGAUAUGAUUGUAAGAUGUGGGUGAAUGCAUUAUUAGCUCAAGACAUUUCCAGUUUGUAUAUGUUUUAUGUGCUUGUGAUGUUUGAAACUCAAAAAAUAUGUAAAAGGUGUUAGGCAAAAGAAAAGAAGAAAAGUUUUCUAUAAAGUUUCAGCCUGUUCCGAGAGACUAUUUGUAAGCAUACUUGGUGCUGGUGCUGCUAUUUUAUUCAGAAGAAGAGAUACACUCAGGAUGUUAUAAAAAAAAGAGGGAUGCACUCAGGAAAAAGAAGCUUCUGCACUCUUUAAUCCCUUGUCUUGACACUAGCCAAGGCAAAUAAAAAUUUACUUUUGGUUAAAAAAUGUGUUAAUUUGCCUACCAAGUACCAACUAUAUUAAGAGACAAUAUUAAUAAAAUAACCAUGUAAAUGUUCCAAAGAAAAACGUUCCAACAAAAAAAACCAUGUAAUAAAGUGGGAGAUGAAUAGAAUAAUUUGACACAAAGUUGAAAUGAUAGUUUUAACAAAACUAUUUGUAAGAUUAAAGUACUUUACAAUUAAUACUACAGUUAAAAUCGAUAUAAAUUGUAUCAAAAUUCUAGAUUGACAUUUUUGUAACAAAAGAAUUAUAUUAUCAUUAAUAAAUUCAAAUCUAAAUCUAUUUUUUAAAGAGUUUACUUUUAGCUGGUUUGAAAUUUUAUUUCUUAUGUGCUAUUUGGAAAAUAAAAAUAUAUUUUAUUACUAUUUUAGGUAUUUGUCUUGAAAUAUUUUUGAUGGAGUCUCUUAUAUAUAUAUAUUUUUUUGAUCAAAACGAGUUUCUCUUAUUUAUAAAUGAAAUUUGUCUGAUUUAAAUAAACAAGGAGAGAAGAAGCUUGUCUGAUGAUGCCCAUGCAAAGCGCGUUGAGCGCGUCAUCCCAGAAUCAAAAGAGUAAAAGUGUAAAACCAAUCCCAGAAUCCAAAGAGGGAGUAAAACCAUAGGCGCGUGAUAGGCCUUCACAACUAAUAUUACUUUUCUCUUUCCUUAUUUAUAGUCGGUACAAAAGAAACUUGGUUUGGUUCGGACAUAAGUUAAUGCAAACCGGAUUCUUUUUACCAAGAUUCAGCAUUUCACACUUGUACUUUAACGGACAAAUAAAUAGAAAAGCUUUCAAUCACAUGAAAACAGAGAAAAUUACAAUAACUCUGGUCAUGAUGAAUACACACACAGCUGCUAAGACCUCAAAAUCACCCCCCAACUUCUUUCCUUUUGGGGCAGACAAAAAGAAAAACAAAACACAAACCACUAAUCGAUUGUGAUCUAAGAAGACAACAAGAAGUGAUCACUCAGUCACUAAGUACAAGUCUGCUUAUGAAUGGGGUCAUGGCUGCAAGAAGCGCCUUUGGACACUCCUCAUGCGGCAGAUGACCACAUCCUGAGAUUGCUACUAGCCUCUGUUUGUUUGAACAAUGUCUAAUGUUAGUCCCUGAGAGACAGAGAGUUAUUCGUUUUAAUUAAAUAUACGGAAGACUUACAGAGUUAAAGAGUUUUGAAGCCAUGACUUGGGAGGACUUGAGGGGAACAAGUGCGUCUUCUGCUCCAGCAACGACUAAUACUGGUAAGCUUUCCACUGCUUUGAGAAGCGACUGUGCAUUUUGAGUUGAAAGCACCAUCUCGGAUGAGAGUCUACCUAUCUCGUGAAGCGCCUCGUCCCAGCCUUCGACAUGGAGUGGUGCCUUGUAUAGCUUUAAGACAUCUGAUGUCAUCUUGGCAGGAUCAUACCAAGCUCGACGGUUCACCACCUGAGCUAUCUCAGUUCGCAAAAGCGGGCGAACAAGGUGUUUCUUUCCUAGUGAUGUGUGCAGAAGUAUUCUUGCAAAAGCUGGGACUACUUCCCUCGUCAAGCUUACAUUAAGCAAAACCACUCCUUUCACUUUGAUGGUGGCAUCAUCAUUUGAUGCUACCAAUCUUUGUGCAGCCUUGAGAGCAAUCAAACCUCCAUCAUCAUGGCCAACCAAGACUACCGAAGCAAACCCCAUUUCGUGGCAAAAAGCAACAAGCAUGUCUACCUGCAAACAUCCAAGAACAGAUCAUUGAGUUUUUACAUUUCUUUCUGAAGUGCAAAUACAAAAGCUUCCACCAAUGAAGAUCAAAUUACCUGAUUUUCCAGAGUGUAAGGGUUUGGCAAAUCUCUUUCUUCCAAAUCCUUAACAUGAGGCCUAGCGGUUAAUCCCCAACCAGGCCUAUCGAAAGCAGUGACAACACAGCCAAGCUGAUGGGCGAGAGAACCCAUCACAUUUCUCCAAGAGAACACUCCACCUCCAAAUCCAUGAACCAGCACUACACCAAAACUUCCAUCGGAGGGAUCUUGCUGCUCCGUGACACCACCGCAACUGGACGCAUUCAUGACAUCCUCUUCUUCCUGAGUAUCUUUGAAAAGAAGAGGAGAAGUAGGAGAACCCUCUAGGAGAGGAUCGUGCAAGGAAGAAGACGAAUUGUUGAAGAGGCUGCUGCAGCUUUUAUGGUGAUGAUGAUUGAGCUUGUUUCUAGUGACCAUGCUCAAUAGUUUCCUGUCAAGCUUCAACCUUCCUGCCAUCGCCUCCGGCACAUUGAGCAUAGAAUUAGCUUCGGGAGAAAGAGUUGAGGAGACAGAAGACUGCCGAGGAGAGCCAGGUGUGCAUAUCUUGUAAUGCACAGAGAGUCCCGUGACUGUAACGAACAAGCUGUCAAGAUCAGCGAGUACUCUCACUGGAAGCUCUCCAUCAUUGGAAGUAGAUGAAGGAAGCUUCCGUCUGACCUCGCCAUCAGUCUUGGAGACCUUCCGAACCAAAGGAAUGGGAGAACGUGGGACUUUCUGGUAACUAGAGAAGACACUUUUACACGAAAGAACCUGCAAACAAAAAAACACACAGAAGUCAAAGAGAUGAUGUUUAGUUAAAAGGUUUGCAGGCAAAGUUAGUAAGCUUACAGCUUCAGGGUCGACCGCUCUGUGGAACAAGAGUUUCCUCCGAGCUCGGCAGCUAGUUCUAUAAGCAACAACGGUAUGACCAAGAGCGAAAACCACAGAAGAAAGGAACAAAACUGGCAUCCCCCAAGACUUCUUGAGGUGAAGUCGUUGCCUUGACGGAGAGAUCGAUGCUUCAGCGUUGAGCUGAGAGUUAGCAGUGAAAAUGCAAGCUUUAACCGAAAGAAGAACAAUGGAAACAACGGAACACAAGGACACAGUUCCGAGGUAAGGUCCGUGAGAGAGUGCAGGCCCAUCGGAUAGUGAAUACACACCUGUUCAUCAAUUAAAAAAAAAAAGAAACUUUUAAGAUUAAAAAAGUGGAGAAAACUCUCAAAGGAAAGGAGGGAAGGUGAAAGGUACAGAUGAGGAGGAAAGAUCUGAGGAGGGAGACGAGAGGAAUAUCAGUCAAAGAGGUCUUGAAGCUGUAUCUGCUGAGAUGGUCAUUGAAGCUGUAACAGGUCAGACAAGUAAAGCUGGAAAGCAAAAAGGUUGGGACCAAGACGUCGCCGAUGGCAACGAGGACAGGCAAGGAGGAGACUAAGAGGGAAACCAACAUGGCAACCAUGAAAAACACCGUCUUUAAGCAUCUUCCCAAUUUCUCUACCACCUUCCCCAUCUCUUCUUCCUCAAUUGAGAUCGAUUGGGAUCAGAUCAGAUCGUUUGAUCUAUGUGGGUGUUGAGACAGACCCUAGCGAGCAAUCCACCAAGUUCGGAGGAUUUUGUGAGGAUGGUGACGACUUGGCCAUCUGCCGGCGGCGAGAAUGAAGAGGGAGAGGAGGGGAGAUACCAAAGCAAUCCCCCUUUUUUGGCUAAUUAAUAAAAAAAAGGGGAAAUUAAAAAGCCAUUGCUACUACGAUUCUGAAAGGAAGGAUAUCAAAGCUUAAAAAGAAUUUCAGAAUCGCAGGAACGGCGAAAAGAGAAAGAGAGAAGAAGAAGAAGGAGAUUAGAAAAAAGGGAGACACUUUUGUUUGUAGAGAAAGCAAAAAGGAAAAAAAAAACAAAACCUCCCCUUUUUUCUCCUCCUAUUUUCUCACAACUUUUUUUUUUUUACAAGCUUUUAUUUAUAAGAAAUUCACUUUUGUUUUUUAUCGGUCAUUUUUCCAUUCAUAUGAGAAAAAGCCAAUUUAAGAUUUAUUCCAGAUAAUUAAAGUAAAGCCUUUCCCCCACUUGCUAUUUGCGAUUUUUUUUUUUAUAAAAAAUCAUCCGCUUACCAAAAAAAAUUAAGAAUCAUGUCUAUGAGACAAAGGGAGGCGUUGGCGAUAUUUACCCUUAGCUGAACAUAAUCAUCUUCUUCUAUGCACCCAACACAGAACUGGCUGCAUUUUGGAAUAGUUAAUCUUUCUAAUUAGUCGUCGCAAAUUACACUAAACAACAAAACAAUCAAGAGUGGUGACUGUUAUACCCCUAUAGAGGAAGUACUGUAACAGUGGUUGGCUUCAGACGACAACGGAUAGCGGGAGAAUCGAGGCUGUUUUUUUCUUUUUCUUUUUUAUUUAUUUUUGGUGACCGUUAACUUUCAAACUUGGAUUUCGUGUAGUUUUGAAGAUUCUUGUCGGGGACCAUUUUAUUGUCACAACAGUCCCCACAUUUCUACUCUCUCUCAAUCAGUGUCUCUAGCUUAUGACACAAAAACAAUGUGGACAAUCAUCGCUAAAUAUAUCAUACUUUGCUUGUACCUUUUCACAUGUAUAUAUGUACAUGACAAAAAAGACAUAUGUAUACGUAUAUGCAAAUUAAAUGGCNNNNNNNNNNNNNNNNNNNNNNNNNNNNNNNNNNNNNNNNNNNNNNNNNNNNNNNNNNNNNNNNNNNNNNNNNNNNNNNNNNNNNNNNNNNNNNNNNNNNAUUUUUUUAAAAAAUAAUCAAUUAAAAUUGUUAUUAUCAUUGAAUAUCAUUAUUUUUGACAUAAUUUGAGUUUUCGUUUACAUCAAAACUUAUCAUAUUUUAGGAUAAUUUUAAUUUAAAAUGUAAUUUUCAUAUUUUUUAAAAAAAUUCUAAAAUAUUUUUUAAAUAUUUUGUUAUAAUUGUUAAAAAAAUAUUGAGUUGUAUUUCAAAUAAAAAGGUAAAGAUAUUAAAAAUAUUCUAAUUAAAAUAUGUAAAAUUUAAUAUAGUUUUAAGGAAAUGGUCAAAAUAAAAAAAAUUACACAUAAAAUAAUCAUGAUUUUUGUUAACUGGGCGGAUCAUUAUUUAUAUGAUAUCGCACACGAAAGAAAAUUUUUUAUUUUUAAAAUUAUCUAAUUAACUCUAUACUCAUUUUUUUUUUUAUAUGAUAUCACACAUUCGUAAAAAAUAAAUAGUUUAAGAUGCAAAAAACAAAUAUUUACUUAAUGAAUAUAAUAUGAACAAAUAUUACAAUUACAUCAUUUAAUAAAAUAAAUAAUUAAAAACUGAAAAUUCAUAUCCGCGCUCAGGGUCUAGUUAACAUUAUAGCCAAAAAUUAAAAUGUGAAUUCUUCGACCAAGUAUUAUAAAUACAUAUAACAAAGAGGAGCAUAUGGCUAAUUAUAGAUCUCAUAAGGUCCAAAACUGAACCAACAUAUAUAUAUAUAUAAAAUAUAAGCAUCAUUCUCUUUUUAUCACUGUUGGGGCAGAACCACCGGUCUCCGGCGGCGGCUGAUGAGCUGACAUCUGCCCACCGUGAAGAAACUCACGUGCAAUAGCUUGGAACUCGCCGCCUCCUCCGAUACUGGACGAUUGCGAGACACCGAAGAGAUGAUCCGACGGUCGAGGUUGUUGCUGCAUGGGCCACGUGGAUGACAUCGGCUCAAAGAUUGGGGAGAGGUCGUACAUCGACGGUGUUAUUGUGGGCAGGUCUGAUAUGGAAAGAGGCGGCAGAGAUCCAGAAGACGUCACCGUGGCCGGCGGUGGCUGUGGCAGCUCUAGAGUUGCUAAAUGUGCUUGUACAUAUGAAAGCUCAUUUUGCAAACUCACCACCUGUUUUUUUUUAGACAAAAUCCAUGCAAAUGCUUAAAAAUUAAUACCAAGAAAAUAUUAAAGAGAUGUAAUAAUCUAAAUAUUGAUACUUUCAGCAAUAAAUGAUUACAUGAGUUUCCCAAUUCUCGAGCAAAUGUUGAUUCACUUAUGCCCAAAACACACGACAUGACUAAUUGCUUGCUUGUAACAUUUAAAAUACCCUUCACUAAUAUCAGUUUAUUGGAUGCAAUUGCACAAAUAUUCGAGUAUGUAACAAGCAUACUUUAUUUGAUCAAAGCAAUUGAUAUAUUUAUAUAUUGAAAAGACGCUUAGAAAUAAGCGUACAACUACGUGUUUUUGCGAACAGAGAAAGACAUCUCUUCUCAAUCAGUGGCUUGGAUUAACUUAGAAAACAUCUUUGUAAACAUUUAUUUAUAAAAAGUAAUACAACGUAUGCUCAAUGUGCUAAUUAAAUUAAAUUCAGAGAGAGAGAGGCCUUCAACUGUUCUGUAACGCAUUAGAUCAUGUCAUACAAGUAAGUAUGCAUACACUUUAUUACUAAACUAGUUGAUGGCGGACUAAUAUAUCCCAAUCAAUUGUAACUUUAACAUACUUUUUUAUUUUAAUCUAAAUUAAUUUAUUAGUUUCAAGUAUUAAAUUUAAUAUCUAAUCUAUAUAAUGUAAUUUUUUUUAUUACAACACAACUUAAUAAUGGCUUGGUAAUUAACUUGCAAAAUCUUUUAUCUAUUUUAUUAUCAAACCACAAAUGUAAAAAGCAUUAUCAUUGUAACAACAUAAUAAAGUUUUAUGAACACUUUAAAAUAACAUAAGAGAUAUAUCUACAAAAUAAACUAUAAUUACAAAUAAAGCGUAUGAAAGCAAACUCCUCUUCAUCAAAUAAUAUUAUAGAUGAUUGAACAUUUUUCCUUUUUCGAUGAUUCCUACUAACAUUAGUUUAAUUACAUUUUAUCGGAAUUUCUGUUUCAUCCGAGUUUAUAGUAGCACUUAUUAAAAAAAUAUACAAUAACUAAAAAAAUCUUUCUAUUCAACUAAAACCUAAUAAACUAAUGGUAAUAAAUUAUAUAUGUUUAGUAAAAGCUAGAUUUUUAAUUAUAACGAUAAGAUAUUAUAUUCUUUGGAGUCAUAGUUUUUUAUUGGUAAUCUGAUAUUAACGAAACUCAUAACACUACUCUUCCGUGACAUAAACUAAAAAUAUGUCAAAUAAGCAUAAUUAAUAAAAACAUGACCAAUGAAAACACAAGACGAUUAAUUAUGCUUAUUUGACAUAUUUUUAUUUUAUGUCACAGAAGAGUAGUGUUAUGAGAUUAGUUAACAUCAAGUUAACAAUCAAAAGCUAUGAAUCCAAACAAUCUAAUAUCUUGUCGUUAUAAUUAAAAAUCCAGCUUUUACGAGACAUAUAUAAUUUAUUAUUUCUAGUUUAAAAGGUUUUAGUUAAAUAGAAGUAUUUUUAAUUAUUGUAUAUUUUAUUAACAGAUAUCACUAUAAACUCGGAUGAAGAGGAAAUUUAAAUAAAAUGAAAUUAAACUAAUGUUCGUAGGAAUCAUCGAAAAAGGAAAAAUGUUCAAUCAUCUAUAAUAUUAUUUGAUGAAGAUUAUGAUUAAGGCUAGGAAUGCAAUUAUAAAUUAAUUAUUUUUAUUUUUCUCUGUAGAUUAUCAUGCUGAUAAUCGUAAGUCCUUAUUACUAAAACAAAAAAAAAGGACCACGAAUGAGAACAAAUCGCAGCUAAAACACAAGACGAUUUUUUUCGUCAAUGCUUAAGAGAGAGUACUUUGCAUGAGCUUGGGUAAAUGGGUAGAAACGAAAGCAAAGGAAGAGAGAAAUAUCAACAAUUUUCUUUUGUUAUAAAAAAAAGAAAAGGAAACUGGUAAGAUAACUGAUGAAUGUCACGACCUACAGACAGUAUAUUGACUUAAAAUUCUUGCGAUUUCCCAUCAUACUAUAUGAUAGUAAUAAGUUAUAGUAUUAAUAGAAUAAUUGUUUAUUUAAUAGUAUUAAUGGAAAAAUUAAAUUACCUGUUGCUGAAGAGAGACGAUGUGGGAGACGCAGCCGUAGAUAGGGUCUCGGAGACGAGACUGAGCCUCGAAACAGAUUGAAACGACAGCGUCUGCCCGUUUAUGCUCGGGAAUAUGGUGGAGGAGUUUUGAAACGUUGCUCGCUCCGAACACCUUAUGAACCGCCGCGAAGUGCGCCGCUCCUUGAUCGGAGUCGAAAUAGGGUGCGAAUAUGCAGCCGGGAACGCACUUCCGUCUCAAGAACUUACAGGCGCCACACGGUCCACCUCCACCGCUGCUGCUAGGGCUUCCGCUACUGCUCAUCUUCCUGAUUAGGGUUUUGAGAGAUAUAUAUGGAGCUAAUUCAACCAGGUUAGGUUGAUUAGCAGGAAAAAUUGGGAACGUUUGGGAGAGAAAGAGAGGAGUCGGACGUAAACAAAACUAGGGCUUGGUUGGUGCUUAUUGGAAACUUUUUAUUUCCCCCAAUAAUACAUUAAUUAAUUGUAGUAUCUAAUAGUAUUUAAUAAAUAAAUAAGCAUAAUAAAUUAAUUUUUUUUUUAACACUGUAUAUAUUAUGCUAUUACAAACUCGGAAAAAUAUUACAGACGGUUUUACUGCCGACAAUUCUACCUGCUUUAUGAAGAUUCACGUCUGACUGCAUCAUCUAAGCCGUCCUAUCGGAUCCACCUUUGACGGUACUUCUUGCAUCAUGCUGCAAAUCUCUUGUAAGUUGUUUUCGCAUAAUUCUGCUUUUUCCAGGAAUCGAAACCCAGACCUGCUGGUGUAAAAGCAUUAAUGAACCCUUGGUCAAACCACUGGACAACGGGGUUUCCAAAAUAAAUUAACUUGUAGGAACCCGAAUUGAGGUGAUGUCAAAAUGACAAACUUAGAUAAAAUAAUAAGAUAAUAACUUUUUGAAAAAAAAUUAUGUAAAUAUAUGGUCCCAAUGUAAACAUAAAUUAAUAUAAACUUUUUAUAAAUAUAAAAAUAUAUUGUAUAGUUUGUAUAUGUAAAAUUUAAUUAAUAUAUAUACAGUAAAAUCAAAUAUUUUUCUUAUUUUCACAUACAAAUAUAGAAGAGAAUUUUUUUGUAAAUUAAUAAAUAAUUAAAGAUCCAACACUACUAAUUUAUAGAAUUGUUACUGUACUACUAGUAGUUAAGAAAACAAAUGCUGUCAAAAGUAUAAAUCAUUUAUACUUUUCUUUUAAAAUAUCAUUUAAUUAGUUGUAUUAUUACCAAAAAAAACUAAGACGGUUAAGACAAGAUGAAAAAAAAAAAUUUCUUUUAAGCCACGCGAUCAAUCGUACUUGUCUCGUAUUAAGCUCUUUGCGUGAAGCAAAACAUUCCAUAUCUCUUAACUUCUUCAUUGCCAUUCCCUUCCUUUUUCUUCUACUUCUGGUUUAAAUUUAUUUUUGUUACAAUCAGUCCACACAGAUGAAUCUUUACUUAUAUAGAAAUGUAUUGAUGCAGGCUCAUUCUAAUAAAAUUAGACUUUAGAUUUACAAAGUAACAGUUAUUUAAAAAUGACCUUACAACUAAUCAUAAUAUUAAUUUUUUUAAAAAAUAAUCAAUUAAAAUUGUUAUUAUCAUUGAAUAUCAUUAUUUUUGACAUAAUUUGAGUUUUCGUUUACAUCAAAACUUAUCAUAUUUUAGGAUAAUUUUAAUUUAAAAUGUAAUUUUCAUAUUUUUUAAAAAAAUUCUAAAAUAUUUUUUAAAUAUUUUGUUAUAAUUGUUAAAAAAAUAUUGAGUUGUAUUUCAAAUAAAAAGGUAAAGAUAUUAAAAAUAUUCUAAUUAAAAUAUGUAAAAUUUAAUAUAGUUUUAAGGAAAUGGUCAAAAUAAAAAAAAUUACACAUAAAAUAAUCAUGAUUUUUGUUAACUGGGCGGAUCAUUAUUUAUAUGAUAUCGCACACGAAAGAAAAUUUUUUAUUUUUAAAAUUAUCUAAUUAACUCUAUACUCAUUUUUUUUUUUAUAUGAUAUCACACAUUCGUAAAAAAUAAAUAGUUUAAGAUGCAAAAAACAAAUAUUUACUUAAUGAAUAUAAUAUGAACAAAUAUUACAAUUACAUCAUUUAAUAAAAUAAAUAAUUAAAAACUGAAAAUUCAUAUCCGCGCUCAGGGUCUAGUUAACAUUAUAGCCAAAAAUUAAAAUGUGAAUUCUUCGACCAAGUAUUAUAAAUACAUAUAACAAAGAGGAGCAUAUGGCUAAUUAUAGAUCUCAUAAGGUCCAAAACUGAACCAACAUAUAUAUAUAUAUAAAAUAUAAGCAUCAUUCUCUUUUUAUCACUGUUGGGGCAGAACCACCGGUCUCCGGCGGCGGCUGAUGAGCUGACAUCUGCCCACCGUGAAGAAACUCACGUGCAAUAGCUUGGAACUCGCCGCCUCCUCCGAUACUGGACGAUUGCGAGACACCGAAGAGAUGAUCCGACGGUCGAGGUUGUUGCUGCAUGGGCCACGUGGAUGACAUCGGCUCAAAGAUUGGGGAGAGGUCGUACAUCGACGGUGUUAUUGUGGGCAGGUCUGAUAUGGAAAGAGGCGGCAGAGAUCCAGAAGACGUCACCGUGGCCGGCGGUGGCUGUGGCAGCUCUAGAGUUGCUAAAUGUGCUUGUACAUAUGAAAGCUCAUUUUGCAAACUCACCACCUGUUUUUUUUUAGACAAAAUCCAUGCAAAUGCUUAAAAAUUAAUACCAAGAAAAUAUUAAAGAGAUGUAAUAAUCUAAAUAUUGAUACUUUCAGCAAUAAAUGAUUACAUGAGUUUCCCAAUUCUCGAGCAAAUGUUGAUUCACUUAUGCCCAAAACACACGACAUGACUAAUUGCUUGCUUGUAACAUUUAAAAUACCCUUCACUAAUAUCAGUUUAUUGGAUGCAAUUGCACAAAUAUUCGAGUAUGUAACAAGCAUACUUUAUUUGAUCAAAGCAAUUGAUAUAUUUAUAUAUUGAAAAGACGCUUAGAAAUAAGCGUACAACUACGUGUUUUUGCGAACAGAGAAAGACAUCUCUUCUCAAUCAGUGGCUUGGAUUAACUUAGAAAACAUCUUUGUAAACAUUUAUUUAUAAAAAGUAAUACAACGUAUGCUCAAUGUGCUAAUUAAAUUAAAUUCAGAGAGAGAGAGGCCUUCAACUGUUCUGUAACGCAUUAGAUCAUGUCAUACAAGUAAGUAUGCAUACACUUUAUUACUAAACUAGUUGAUGGCGGACUAAUAUAUCCCAAUCAAUUGUAACUUUAACAUACUUUUUUAUUUUAAUCUAAAUUAAUUUAUUAGUUUCAAGUAUUAAAUUUAAUAUCUAAUCUAUAUAAUGUAAUUUUUUUUAUUACAACACAACUUAAUAAUGGCUUGGUAAUUAACUUGCAAAAUCUUUUAUCUAUUUUAUUAUCAAACCACAAAUGUAAAAAGCAUUAUCAUUGUAACAACAUAAUAAAGUUUUAUGAACACUUUAAAAUAACAUAAGAGAUAUAUCUACAAAAUAAACUAUAAUUACAAAUAAAGCGUAUGAAAGCAAACUCCUCUUCAUCAAAUAAUAUUAUAGAUGAUUGAACAUUUUUCCUUUUUCGAUGAUUCCUACUAACAUUAGUUUAAUUACAUUUUAUCGGAAUUUCUGUUUCAUCCGAGUUUAUAGUAGCACUUAUUAAAAAAAUAUACAAUAACUAAAAAAAUCUUUCUAUUCAACUAAAACCUAAUAAACUAAUGGUAAUAAAUUAUAUAUGUUUAGUAAAAGCUAGAUUUUUAAUUAUAACGAUAAGAUAUUAUAUUCUUUGGAGUCAUAGUUUUUUAUUGGUAAUCUGAUAUUAACGAAACUCAUAACACUACUCUUCCGUGACAUAAACUAAAAAUAUGUCAAAUAAGCAUAAUUAAUAAAAACAUGACCAAUGAAAACACAAGACGAUUAAUUAUGCUUAUUUGACAUAUUUUUAUUUUAUGUCACAGAAGAGUAGUGUUAUGAGAUUAGUUAACAUCAAGUUAACAAUCAAAAGCUAUGAAUCCAAACAAUCUAAUAUCUUGUCGUUAUAAUUAAAAAUCCAGCUUUUACGAGACAUAUAUAAUUUAUUAUUUCUAGUUUAAAAGGUUUUAGUUAAAUAGAAGUAUUUUUAAUUAUUGUAUAUUUUAUUAACAGAUAUCACUAUAAACUCGGAUGAAGAGGAAAUUUAAAUAAAAUGAAAUUAAACUAAUGUUCGUAGGAAUCAUCGAAAAAGGAAAAAUGUUCAAUCAUCUAUAAUAUUAUUUGAUGAAGAUUAUGAUUAAGGCUAGGAAUGCAAUUAUAAAUUAAUUAUUUUUAUUUUUCUCUGUAGAUUAUCAUGCUGAUAAUCGUAAGUCCUUAUUACUAAAACAAAAAAAAAGGACCACGAAUGAGAACAAAUCGCAGCUAAAACACAAGACGAUUUUUUUCGUCAAUGCUUAAGAGAGAGUACUUUGCAUGAGCUUGGGUAAAUGGGUAGAAACGAAAGCAAAGGAAGAGAGAAAUAUCAACAAUUUUCUUUUGUUAUAAAAAAAAGAAAAGGAAACUGGUAAGAUAACUGAUGAAUGUCACGACCUACAGACAGUAUAUUGACUUAAAAUUCUUGCGAUUUCCCAUCAUACUAUAUGAUAGUAAUAAGUUAUAGUAUUAAUAGAAUAAUUGUUUAUUUAAUAGUAUUAAUGGAAAAAUUAAAUUACCUGUUGCUGAAGAGAGACGAUGUGGGAGACGCAGCCGUAGAUAGGGUCUCGGAGACGAGACUGAGCCUCGAAACAGAUUGAAACGACAGCGUCUGCCCGUUUAUGCUCGGGAAUAUGGUGGAGGAGUUUUGAAACGUUGCUCGCUCCGAACACCUUAUGAACCGCCGCGAAGUGCGCCGCUCCUUGAUCGGAGUCGAAAUAGGGUGCGAAUAUGCAGCCGGGAACGCACUUCCGUCUCAAGAACUUACAGGCGCCACACGGUCCACCUCCACCGCUGCUGCUAGGGCUUCCGCUACUGCUCAUCUUCCUGAUUAGGGUUUUGAGAGAUAUAUAUGGAGCUAAUUCAACCAGGUUAGGUUGAUUAGCAGGAAAAAUUGGGAACGUUUGGGAGAGAAAGAGAGGAGUCGGACGUAAACAAAACUAGGGCUUGGUUGGUGCUUAUUGGAAACUUUUUAUUUCCCCCAAUAAUACAUUAAUUAAUUGUAGUAUCUAAUAGUAUUUAAUAAAUAAAUAAGCAUAAUAAAUUAAUUUUUUUUUUAACACUGUAUAUAUUAUGCUAUUACAAACUCGGAAAAAUAUUACAGACGGUUUUACUGCCGACAAUUCUACCUGCUUUAUGAAGAUUCACGUCUGACUGCAUCAUCUAAGCCGUCCUAUCGGAUCCACCUUUGACGGUACUUCUUGCAUCAUGCUGCAAAUCUCUUGUAAGUUGUUUUCGCAUAAUUCUGCUUUUUCCAGGAAUCGAAACCCAGACCUGCUGGUGUAAAAGCAUUAAUGAACCCUUGGUCAAACCACUGGACAACGGGGUUUCCAAAAUAAAUUAACUUGUAGGAACCCGAAUUGAGGUGAUGUCAAAAUGACAAACUUAGAUAAAAUAAUAAGAUAAUAACUUUUUGAAAAAAAAUUAUGUAAAUAUAUGGUCCCAAUGUAAACAUAAAUUAAUAUAAACUUUUUAUAAAUAUAAAAAUAUAUUGUAUAGUUUGUAUAUGUAAAAUUUAAUUAAUAUAUAUACAGUAAAAUCAAAUAUUUUUCUUAUUUUCACAUGCAAAUAUAGAAGAGAAUUUUUUUGUAAAUUAAUAAAUAAUUAAAGAUCCAACACUACUAAUUUAUAGAAUUUUACUGUACUACUAGCAGUUAAGAAAACCAAUGCUGUCAAAAGUAUAAAUCAUUUAUACUUUUCUUUUAAAAUAUCAUUUAAUUAGUUGUACUAUUACCAAAAAACUUAGACGGUUAAGACAAGAUGGAAAAAAAAAUUUCUUUAAAGCCACGCGAUCAAUCGUACUUGUCUCGUAUUAAGCUCUUUGCGUGAAGCAAAACAUUCCAUAUCUCUUAACUUCUUCAUUGUCAUUCCCUUCCUUUUUUUUCUACUUCUGGUUUAAAUUUAUUUUUGUUACAAUUAGUCCACACAGAUGCAUCUUUACUUAUAUAAAAAUGUAUAGAUGCAGGCUCAAUCUAAUAAAACUAGACUUUAGAUUUACAAAGUAACAGUUAUUUAAAAAUGACCUUACAACUAAUCAUAAAUUUUUAAUAGUUUUUUGGUGAUUUUAAUUUGAUAUUUUGUCAAAAAAAAAAAUAAAAUAUCUAAAACGGUCUAAUUAACUAGACUCAGCGAUAUUUUUUUUCAAAAAUCAAAAUGUAACGGUUCGUUUAUGCUCGGGAAUAUGGUGGAGGAGUUUUGAAACGUUGCUCGCUCCGAACACCUUAUGAACCGCCGCGAAGUGCGCCGCUCCUUGAUCAGAGUCGAAAUAGGGUGCGAAUAUGCAGCCGGGAACGCACUUCCGUCUCAAGAACUUACAGGCGCCACACGGUCCACCUCCACCGCUGCUGCUAGGGCUUCCGCUACUGCUCAUCUUCCUGAUUAGGGUUUUGAGAGAUAUAUAUGGAGCUAAUUCAACCAGGUUAGGAUGAUUUUUGUCUCGUGAUUAGCAGGAAAAAAUUGGGAACGUUUGGGAGAGAAGGAGAGGAGUCGGACGUAAACAAAACUAGGGCUUGGCUUGGUUGGUGCUUAUUGGAAACUUUUUAUUUCCCCCAAUAAUACAUUAAUUAAUUGUAGUAUCUUAUAGUAUUUAAUAAAUAAAUAAGCAUAAUAAUAAAUUAACAAAUUUUAGCAACCCGAAUUGAGGUGAUGUAAAAUAUGACAAAAUUAGAUAAAAUAAUAAGAUAAUAACUUUUUGAAAAAAAAUUAUGUAAAUAUAUAUAUGGUCCCAAUGUAAACAUAAAUUAAUAUAAACUUUUUAUAAAUAUAAAAAUAUAUUGUAUAGUUUGUAUAUGUAAAAUUUAAUUAAUAUAUAUACAGUAAAAUCAAAUAUUUUUCUUAUUUUCACAUGCAAAUAUAGAAGAGAAUUUUUUUGUAAAUUAAUAAAUAAUUAAAGAUCCAACACUACUAAUUUAUAGAAUUUUACUGUACUACUAGCAGUUAAGAAAACCAAUGCUGUCAAAAGUAUAAAUCAUUUAUACUUUUCUUUUAAAAUAUCAUUUAAUUAGUUGUACUAUUACCAAAAAACUUAGACGGUUAAGACAAGAUGGAAAAAAAAAUUUCUUUAAAGCCACGCGAUCAAUCGUACUUGUCUCGUAUUAAGCUCUUUGCGUGAAGCAAAACAUUCCAUAUCUCUUAACUUCUUCAUUGUCAUUCCCUUCCUUUUUUUUCUACUUCUGGUUUAAAUUUAUUUUUGUUACAAUUAGUCCACACAGAUGCAUCUUUACUUAUAUAAAAAUGUAUAGAUGCAGGCUCAAUCUAAUAAAACUAGACUUUAGAUUUACAAAGUAACAGUUAUUUAAAAAUGACCUUACAACUAAUCAUAAAUUUUUAAUAGUUUUUUGGUGAUUUUAAUUUGAUAUUUUGUCAAAAAAAAAAAUAAAAUAUCUAAAACGGUCUAAUUAACUAGACUCAGCGAUAUUUUUUUUCAAAAAUCAAAAUGUAACGGUUCGGUCGAACGUUAUAUAAGUUUUAUUUUAUAAAAUAGAUAUCGCGCAACGUGUUUAAAAAGUUUAAACAGAUUUUGUUUCCGUUCGGAUCCUCUUUAAAGCAAUACAGUUUUUUUUAAAAAAAAUUAUUACUUAAUUUAUUGUUUAUAUAAUUCAAACAUGCACAUUAUUCAAUUUGAAUCCAAUAUAUAGAGGACAAACUAGCCAAUGUAAUACAAAGUCAAACUAUCUAUUUGGUUGUGAAUCCAACAGUAAUGUACUAAACUUGUGUAAAUUAUUAUAGAUAUAGAGGGGAAUAUAUAUUUUGCCAAAACUUAAUUUUAUGUACAUAUAUACAGUCGGGAGUGAAGAAGAUAUGCUCAACAUUAUAAGUACAAAGAGUGAACGGGAUAAAAUUGAUAUGCGAUAAUAUGGUUUCUCAAUAUUUCAUUAGGUUACUGUAAAAAAAAUCGAUUAGGAUAUAACAAAAAUAGGGAAAUCCAAUUACACUGAAUUUCAUAUUCAUGUGCUUUUAGAACUUGUAAAAUUACAAGAUUUGUGGAACAUUCCUCCACAAAAAUAAUUUCCGAAUCAAAUAUUACAGCACUAUAAAUCUGGUGACGGCCAAAGUAAUCAGAGUACACGAGUAUGUACAUGAAAUAAAUAAAUAAAUAUAUAUAUCACUUUUUCCUUUUUGAUAAAUAUGUGAAUUUCAUUAAAAUGAAGCUAAUUUGUACAAACAAAAAGUUAUGCAGUCAAGCCAAAUGAUGCCAAAAAAAGUUAAAAAAACACCAAAAAACUUCGAAAUUGGGAUUAUACAUCACCAAUUAACAUUUCAAGAAUGCUUUAGCCAAACUUGCAUGAGACCUCUGAAUUUCCUUCGCUCUUCCUUCGCAACGGUUCUUGCGACGGUCCAAUAUCACAUCAUAUUGUGACGGUCCAAUAACCAAGUUGUAGCAAGCCUGUCCAGCUAAACUCUUCCACUUCCGCUAACGGGUUUAACGAGGUUUUAGGAGACAUAUAAUUGCAAUGUCAAAAUGGUUCAGUGGAACUGGUUAAUCGACUGAUCGAAAACGUAACUGCUCUGUGCAACUUUGCUGACGCAACCACUCGCACCUUGGGAGUAUGCAAUUCACGACGAAUAUGAUAAUGUAACGUCCCAAAAUUUUUUUUUUCAAAAAUGUUACAAAAUGAUGGAAGAUGAAAAAUAGAAAAGGUAAAGGAUGCAACGGAUAAUUUUUUUUUGAUAUUCAAGUCGAAAAUGUUAGCUUUUGGAGCUAACUAUACUGGAAUCAGAGUCAUGAGAAAACAAAAGCUUUGUGAGCGAACAUAUUUGCAAGGAAGUCAGUCCUUAUAUUAAAGAAAUAGAAAAAGACAGAUAUGAUGAUAAAUGAUAAUUAGAAGAAAGAGUAACAACUUUAGGGCCCAAAUUCUUCGUUUCUCGUAUGUGUUAAUUGUGUGGCAUAGUGUCUAAUUUUUGUUUAAAGCCUUAUUUUAAGUUAGCACUUAGAGUUAUGAUAUCAAAUAGACAGAUAAUACCAUUUGUAGUAGUUCUCCAACGGUGGUGGUUUUAUAUUAGUCGUUUGAUGAUGAUGCAAUUUGUUUAUAACGAGGAAGUUGUUAUUGGAACAGUCGCUAACACUUUUGAGAGUCAUAUAUUUAUUUACCAUUAGAUAUCCUAUAAUGUAUGUAAGGAAAUAUUAUUUAUCGAGAAAUGCAAUGUGUGUAUAUUUCUUGUGUAGACAAUUAAUUUAAGUACUAUUUGGAAACAUAAAUGGAAUGACUGAUAGGUGGACGAUAAAAUUAAAACUCUAGAAAGUGUGUAUAUUCACUGUUUCUAUUUGCUUAAAACUUUAUGCUUGAACAUUUGCACCAUUUAAAUGAUUUUGGUGGGAGAUGUCGAAAGUUAAUAGAGCAAGGAAUUGGAUAUUGAGAGUUUUGAUUUACCAAGGUGGCAUAUUUGACCAAUUGGAUUUCGCUACUGAACCCGAAACUUUUACAUGAGAAGAUUUGAUAUGUUCUCCAUGUUUGAUAUUUUUUUUAGUAUUCAAGAAUAAAAGAUUCAAAAGAUUGGCUAUGUUCUCUAUGUCUGGAAAUUAGAUUCUAUAUUUAAAACAAAAGCACUAAUAAACACUUGAUCAUCCACUAAAUCUAAAUAUGCAGUAUGUAAUAAGUCUUCCCCAUUUAUGUUGAAAAGAUAACAAAAUAAGUACACAGCAAGUGAAAGAGUGCAAUUGUAGAAAAUGUUCUGGCUAACCAACUCCAGAUUCGAUUCCUCAAAUGGAAUUAGUAUCAAAAGAUGAAGUCGACUGAAAAAAUAUCAAUACAAUACUAAAAGGGAUAUAUAAUCCAUGGGGAAGGUGUCCACGUCAUCACAAAAAAUUGACCAAUCAGAGACAAGUGUUUUAACACGUCAUACAACUACAGAGAGAAUCAUAAUAUACGACGCAUCAAUCGGGUUCCACUUCGUCUUCACCAUCUAGGUUCUUCGUGAUGUCCGUUACGGUGAGCUCAAUCAAUGGUGCUCUUUGAUUCCUUCUUUAUAGUUUCGUUCCACCUCCCUCUUUUUAUCCUCAUAUAUAUCGAUUGCUCAACAUCUUCGUCUAAACUUACUUGCAAGCAAACCCGAAAACCUCCAGUGAAGAAUCGAAAGCUCUGGCAAUAAAAUCCAAUCGAAAGUCUCAUCUCUCCACCGGCAAGUCUCUGUCGCUUUGUAUUUCAAGGAUAUCUCACCAUGUCCACCAGAAUACGAAUUAGGAUUUCGAAUCUAAAGUUAAGGCGAUGAUCAAUUUCUUUUUUUUCUUCAAUGGUGUUGAUAACCCAAUCAAAGGGCGUCGCCUUUUAGUUUUGAUGUUGAUUCAUUUGAUCCAGUCUUACGGGUUCUUACAAUUUUUUGUUUUGUUUCGAUUAGGUUGAAGUGCGGUAGCGAUUGCUGUAAGGUGUGAAGAUAAGAUGGCUCUCUGAAUGAAAACAUGAAGAAGUGUCAGUAUGCCGUAAGUGGUAAGCUCCAGAAAGAAGGCAAAAAGGUAUACACUUUUGGAUCAUCUUGUGCCUUUACAUGUUGGCUUUACUCAAGAAAAAGAGACUGUAAGUAUUGUAUAUAUAAAAUAACUUACGAACUUUGAACGUAUUGAACUUAGAAUAAAUACUUUCGCCUCUUAAGUUUUGAAUAAAUACUGGUUCUGAAAAGGAUUAAGAUUUGUCUAUCAACUGCAUCAGAUUUUGUACCCUUUUUACUUUUCUAAAAGCUAAGCCCAGCUCAGAAGGAUGGAAUCAUCGAGUGGAGGAAGAUGAGUGUCUUUCAGAGAAUCAGUGGGGGUUCGUGGGCUGUUCCAAGUUUCCAAAUAGUAAGCUGUAAGCAUAAACUCUUAAACUGCAAAGCGCUUUGGAUGGGGAAGGCCAGCUUUACGUACCGCUUCUGAUAUCGCCAGGUUCUCUACGUACAAAGGAUUCAGGAGAGGUGUGUUUAAAGUCAUCUUAUUUUACGCACUUUUUAGUUUGCUAUGUUGACUUUCCCUAUCUAUGUAGCAGAUUGGUAGAAUACCUACUUAGUGGGCUCGGUGUCUUCUACCGCAUGUGAGAGACAAGAAGGUUAGGCUAGAAGGGAGAUGCAAGUCGACGCCUGAAGCAUUAGGCAUUACAUAAUGAUUCUUCUUUCAGUAAGGUAUACAUUACAAACUAUUGCGUUUGGAUUGAUUCUUCCGGGAUAGCUGCUUAGUUUUGAAAUGGUUUGUUUUUAUGCAGUGUGUACAUUAAUAGUUCCAUGUUUCAAAAGCAUAGUAUGACUUCACUUAGGGUAGCCAGUACUCCGGCGGAUGAAUAAAUGUUUUAUCCUCUCCCACACUCCUUGCGGUUGCUCGGUUUGACACCCUUUAAACAGGUAAUGGAUUGUCCAUUACUGUAACUCUAAGAUUUUCUGAAUGUUUGACAGGUUGCAGUUUGCAAUUCCUAUAUACUUACAUAUUUUGUUGUGAUUGCAAAUUUUUGAGAUGGUGAAUUAGAAUUAUUACAGUUCAAAAGGAUCCACUUAUUUAACAAGAAACAUGAGAAGGUCGGCCAUAGUCCGUAGAAUAAAAGAUAAGUUACAAAAUACAUUUGACUUAUAAGAAUAGAGAAACAUGACAUGUCAUGUAAUUCAACUGACGUACUCUUUAGACCUGAAUAUGUUCAAUAAAUAUUACAAGGAUGUUGUAUAGCUUGGGAGGAAGAGGAGAGAAACAUGAUGUCUUCUGCUGGCUAAGAUUAUGAACAUUGAUAAUCUUUAUUAGAUGCUUAUUUCUUGGAAAAUGUUUUAAAAGAUGUUUUAAUAUAGGUAAAUACUUAUUGCUGGAUCAUGUUUAGAAGUAUAUAUAAGUCUUCCGAGAGAAAAUUACAUUUACAAUUUCACUGUUGUUUUACUGUCAUGAGAUAACUUUUAUGACAAUUGUAUGCAUAUAAUUAAAAUCGCACAACUUCUUUAUGUUUUCCAAUCCUUGAAUAACAAACAAAACAUUAAGAUAAAACAUAUUUGCAAGAAAAAAAUCAAGAUACAAUAUUGUUUCUUCUUAUGGUUCGUUCCGUAGAUAUCUCUUGCUGUGGUUUUAGCCAUGUUUGUGUCUUUAUUUUCUUCAGAUCAUUUUUUUUUGUUGGAUCCAGAAUCAAGGUAGUUUUUCAAUGUGUUUAAAUUAUAAACAAGAGAGAUGUGAAGUAUUUUAAAAUUGUGUACACCUGGAAAUAUAAUAAAAGAUAGGAAUACCAUGAUCAAGAAGCUAAUGAGAAAUGUUUCGAACAAAUAAGUGGAGCAUUAAGCCCAAAAAAAGUGGAACGACAAAGGUUAAGCUUAGUUUGACAAUUAAUCAAUAAAGAGUAAAGAUUGAGAGAUGAAUUAUCUAUUGAAAAACACAAACAAAUAAACUAAAAUAAAAAAAACAAUAGCUAAAUAAAAUAUAAAACGUAAAGAAACCCCACCACUUGAUAUAUGAACUAAACGAGCUAAAAGAAGCAAUGCAAUUUUUUUUUGGCCCACCACUUGAUAUUCUGGACACAUCAGCUAUACUGUUAAAGAAAUCAUGAUCUUUUUUUUUGUGCACAAAUACUUCAUGAAUUAAACUUAAGUUGGGUUUCUUACAGGGUCUCUGAAAGCCUGUUUAGCCAAAUUGUCCUCAACACAGAGAUAAUAAUUAUGAUUGUUCAUCAACUUUACCAAGCUAGAAAAUCACAUUGAAAUACUACCGAAGCAUGACCUCUGAAAUAAUAGUUGUACUAUAGCAAGUCGUGCAAGUGCUUCAGUCUCUAAUGCAAAAGAUGCCAUCCUCAAACACGAACUGCUCCAAAUGAUUCACCAUUCAUAUUACAAACCAUCAAUCCAGAUUUGACCGUACCCUCCACAAAUUUCUUAUAAAAUUUUAAAAGUAUUACAAUACAUCUAACUGUUAAGAACCCCGCGCUUGCACGAAGCUCCGCCUCUAAAAUAUCUAAAGAUAUAUCUUUUCAUUAAUUUUAUUUAUCAUGCAUUUCAAUAGUCCAAAUAAAUAUCUAAAUAUUUACCUUUUCAUAUAUAUCUUUUUUGAUCUAUGAAUGUGUCUUUUUCUUAUUUGUUCAAUUUUUAUAUAUUAUCAUUUUAUAUACUAUAAUUUUUAAGCAAUCUAGAAAAUAGCCUCUACUACUUAAUCAACCAGCUUUCACAAAUUAAUUUUAAUGAAAAUGCAAUAUGUAUUACCGAAAUAACUCAAAUCUACGUUUUAGAAUAUAACGUAUCCUUUAUCAUUUAUAAAGAUUCAUUGCAAACUAUAACUAUGUUUUUUUCCAAAUCUAAGCAUUCUAAUGACACAUUGGAGAUGGUCUAAGGUAUUGCCGACGUAAAUGAUCCAUGUUGAGAUUUCAGCAUUUCUGAUUCUUACUAUUCUAAUGUUUCAAUAUAUUUUGAAUAUUCCCUUUGUUUUAUAAUAUAAUAGUUUAAAAGUAUUUUUUGUUUCACAAUAUAAAUUGUUUUUAUAUUUCAAUGUAACUUUAUAUUUAUUGAAUAUUGUAUGGCCAAUUAAAUUAUGUAAAUUACUGUGUAAUUGAUUAAAUUUAUAUAUUAAAUGAUCUUUCUAAAGUAAUAACUUUUAAAUAUUACAGAUUUUAAUUAAAAUUGAUUAUAUUUUGAAACAGAUAGAGUAAUCUAUAAACUAACUUUAUAUAGAUAUGAGGACAAAAUUGUAAAGUGAUCUCACCUUAAAUUUAUUUCAUUAUGUGCAUUCCUAAUUGGAAUGAGAUAAUCAACAUCUAAUAUUAUGUUACUCUUAGUAUAUUAGAAAUGGUCGAACCGUAAACCAUUUAAGGAUUUUAUAAGGAAGACAUAAAGAUGUAUUUCCAGUUAUCACAAAUAUAGAAUAAAUUGACAACAACUUAAUUAUGUCCAGCGUAGGAAACAAAGAAGAGUUUUCAUACUUUCUAAUAUUAUAAUAUAUCACUAUAUUAGUUGUUAAAUCAGUUUUUUCUAGCACAAAUACUCACUCCAUUCUUGGAGUUUAAGUUUUUCUAUCUGAUGAUAUUAGUAGUUUGAUCCCAAAAAAAAAACGUUCGAUGUGUACAUUGUAAUUGGAGAAAGAAAAACAAACAAAAAUCAACCGAAAACUUUUAAGGUAUAUGAAACAAAAAUUAAAAAUAUCAAUUCUCUGCAAUUAAAGAAUAAGACAAUACAAUUGUAAGAAUACAAAAUAAAACAAAAAAUAUACACAAAAAGAAAGAUUUAGUAAAAUAAAAUCAUAAUAUAAUUUCCAUAAUUGAUAGUGCUCAGUUACACUAAAAAAUCUCUCGAAUCGUACACCUAUCGGCCUCCUACUUUGUUUGUUUUUCAAGUCUUCUCUAAUCUCUACGAUCGAACCUCGAAUCUAUCGGAACUCACCUCAGUCACUAUUUUUUUUUUUUAAUUAGUGUAUGUUUAAUUAGUUUUAGUCACCCUUCUUUGUCAUCUAUUUGUCUGGUGCACUUAACCAGUCAACCUGUACCUAUUACAUAGUUAUAAUCUGGUUUUGGCUAUAGUAUUAGAAAGACUUCAGAGAAAUAUGAUAUACAACAAUACAUAGAAUACAUCAUACAUGUAUGAUGUAUCUAUAAAACUCGUGUAACUAGAGAAAUAUUGUGAGCAGGACAUGUGCAAGUGGAGCAGUAGAGUAGAGUUCGAAUCUAAAAAAAUUAAAAAUCUAGAAUUUUUUAAAAAUAAAUAUAUAAACUAUGGUUUAAAACUUCAAAUUUUUAUAUAUAAUAUUAAUAUAAUAUUAAUUUAGAAUUUAUAAAUUUAAAAGAGACGUCAAAUAUAUAUAAAUAGAGCUAUAAACUUUUAAACUUACUCUAUUGUAUCACUAAAUACUGUUAAAUUUUUUUUGAACAGAGCCCAUUGAUAAUUUGAGACGGUACUGCUUGUGAGAUUUCUAUUUGGUGUCGUAGAAGAACAACAGACCUUUUUUUUUUGGGGGGAACAACCAAGAACAAGUGAACAACAGACCCAUAUUAAUAGGAAAGCAGAAAAAGAUGACCAAACUUGUCCGUCUUUUCAACGUUUCAAUUAGAUCCCGUCUUGUGUCUAAAUUGACGGAGUUCCAAAUUGAACAACUACUGAGAAACCAACAUUACACAACAUUUUUUUGGAAAAGUAAAUACAAUUUUUCUUAUUUCCUCUCAUCGCCAAAUAUAAAUAUUGGGUUUCUAUUACAAUAUCGUUUAUUUAUUUGUUAGUAAAUAGAAUUUUAGGUCUGUAAUCCCUUCACAACCUCGAGGUAACAUGUUAGUAAUGUGCUCCCUUCCUCAUCAGCGAGAUUCGAAUAUGAGAUCUUGAGACGUAGUUCCCUUGAAAGGUUUCCUAGUACCUCAGCAGAGCUACUAAUGCUAUAUUUUUUAAUGUGAAGUAUGUUACACUGUUUACAACAAAUAAAUCUACCAAUAAGCAUGUGAUAAGAUAAACCGCAGAAUAUGAAACCAAGAUGACUCCACAGUAAGACAUGUGCAGAAUAUGAAACCAAGAUGACUCCACAAUAAGACAUGUUUAGAUGUUUCUAUUAGAAAUCUUCUCACAUCGAAAUUGUAAAUUAAUAUCAUAUAUAAAGACUAAAAAACAUGUGUUGUUAUUUCAGUCUUUGUUAAUUAACUUUGAAUUGUAAAUCCAUAAACCUGACAAACAUAAUACUAUAGAAUUCAACCUCGCCAUUACAGUUAACGAUGUGAACCACUGAGAUCAUGAGAUGAUAGUCCUGCUACAUCUGACAUCUCUCUUAUCAUAACAAUUUGGAUAAAGAGAGUAGCCUGAUGGGUUAAUCCAAGAUUGUCAUAUGAAACCGUAACGAUACCAUGAUGCUUGCAGCGCUAAGCCCAGCCCAUAUUGCUGUACAAUACCAUUAGAAUUCAACUAUCCACGAAACACCUAAACGGUGUAUAGGGCUUGGCACGAAGCGAGUACUCGUUAUUUCGUGUGUACUUCCGACUUGACUUACUUUGUAUGAGUAAUAAAAUUUUCGAUUUGUAUUUAACUUGUUAAAAACGAGUACUUGCUAUUUCGAAUACUUGAUCAAAAAUGAAUUAUUUGUAAGUUACUUGACCCGCUAUGUUACUUACUAUUUAUGAGUACUUGUAAACUAUUUACGAGUUUUUUAGAAUUUUUAAAAACUACUUACUAAAUAAUAAUUAUUAGGAAUAGACUUGAAAAUUUGUUUUAUUUAUUCUACUUAACAUAACAUCUUAAUUACUUUAAGCGAAAUAUUUGUUCAUAUUAUAAAAAACACAAAAAAAUAUGAAUAUAUCGAUAUAUAAACAUUGUAUAAUUUUUAUGAUGACAAAAAUGUUUUCUCUAAACAAGUAACAAGUAGUAACAAGUCAUAUAGUUAAAUUUUUAAUACUUGUUACUAUAUAAUACUUAACUAGAUGACGACGAAGAUUUAUAAAUCAAGACAUAUACGAAAUAAGUAUAUUUAUAAUUAGAUUGUACAUAUAUAUAUUUUGCCUUGAUCAAUAAAUUUGAAAUUUCAUCAAAAAAAAUAAAAUAAGUAGUAAGUAUAAAAAGAGUAAUGAAUAUUUGUGUCCAAUCCUAAAUGCAAGUAAAAGAAAAAACAAAUAUAAACAAGUAUUUAAUAGAUCAUAUAAAUAGUAAGUACUAGGGCAAGUAACAUGGCGUAAUGAGUCAAGUAAUAAAAAUAAUAAUGAUACUUGAUAUUUGACUUAGGGUCUGACUGGUGACCAUUCGGGAAACAAGAUGAACAGAUUAAAAAGGAAUGUUCGGGAAUAAAAUAGGAGGAAUGAAAAUGAAUGAUCGUUCUUUAUCACUUUUAACAAGGAAUACUUUUGUUCUUUAAUUCUCUACAAAAAAAGUAAUGAAAGGGAAUGAGAGAGAAUUAUUAUUCUUUGUGAAUGGUGAUUUUUUUCAGAAACGUUAGGGAAUACAUUAUUCCUCGUCGUUCCCUGGUCACCAUUCAUACUCUUAGUUUUGUAAGUAAUAAAAAUUGCGGACUUGUUACUUACCUUGAUAACAUUGAAUACUUCAAUUUUUAAGGCGGAUUUAAGGCGAGUAACAAGUAAUGACGGGCAGCCUACCAGUAUAAAGUGCGAUUUUGAGUAUCAUAGUAUAAGGUAAUGUGCAACUGAUUAAUUAAUUACUAGAUUUUACUGAGAAAUCCUUUGCAAGGUCCCACAAAAAGAUAUAGAAUAGGGCGGCCAUCCACUUGAUUUGAAAGAGACUGUAGUGGAAUCCAACCAUAUGUCACAAAGAUCCAAGAUAAUAUAUGAACUAUUUUUCAAAUUAUGAUAAUGAUCAAUACUAUUUUCUUCAACACUUCAUUAUCAUUCUUAAGAGUAGUUAUUUAUGCAUGUGCAUGAUUAUACGAAAAAGAACCGACAAUUUACUCCGCAAGACAUUUAUACGGUACAUUGUCAUUCCCUUCCUUUUAUUAUUUCCUUCAACAAACUAUAAUCGAAAUGAACGAUUCUGUGUUAUACAAAGAUCGAGUUUAUUGAGAAAACAACUUGUUAUCUAAUGGUUGGUCACUUGGUCCUAAAUAUGAUUUCCUCAUCUCCACCAAAACCAAAGCUCAAACUGUAAAUAUCAGUGAUCGUGCAUGUGAAUGAGUGAGAAAGCUAUUAAAGAGUUAUUUGAUUUAGUAGUCACUAACUUCUAAAAGAAAUUGGCCACCGUUAUGACUCGGGACACUAUCACUCCAGCUGAGCUUAGGAAACAUGAUUGAAAAUAUAAAGAGAAUUGGUUGGAGUGGGACCAAUGAAAGAAGUAUCAUUAUUAGACGAGAAGAAAAAGACAGAAUUGUUAGAGAAAUGUCAAAAAAGUACAGUAACAAACAACAAAAAAAGGCCCAAUCAAUGCUCUACUUUCAUUAAAGCUUUAGUUUUUAGGUAAGGAAUGUAGAAUGUGUGUGUGAGAUUGUAAGGUAGAGAGAAAGUGAUAAGUGAGAGAGAGAGAGAGAGAGAGAGAAAUGAAGUUCUUGUUCCAGUGUCCAUGCUGCUCUUGCUUCUGCUUCAUGAAACCAAAGCAGGGCAAACCAAAAGCUGUAGAUUCAAAACCAAAGGAAGAGAAGAAAAAAGAGGAGAAGAAACCUGAGAAGAAAGAAGAAAAGAAAGAAGAAAAGAAAGAAGAGAAGAAAGAAACCAAAGCUGAGAAGGCCGAGUGAGAGCUCUAUUUCAAGAAAACGCAAUUAAUUAUCCCAUUUUAUUUCUGUUUCUAUUUCUAUGCUAUGUUAUGGAUGCUUAAGUAACUUGUAACAUUUCUUGAUUAAUAAAAUUUUCUAUUUUGCCAAUAUGGUUUGUCUCUAUUUUAUCAAUGCUGCUUGUUUAAUAUGUACUAUUCUGAAUUUGUGAAAGAAAACUAUGAUUAUUGUUUCGACGUGAUUGUCCUUUAGUUUUAUAAAACCCCACUUAUGAUUAGAUAUUGACGGUUUGAGUUUAUACGAUUGAUGAUUCAUAUUGGAUUUCUUAUUCCCAGUUUCGGAUUUGAUUCUUUUUGUUGUAACAAGUAUAUGAAUGAAAACUAUUAACCAAAUCAAAUCUGAGUCUAACUCGUAUAGGUGCAUGCAAUAAUUGAUUAGAACAGAAGCCCAUUUCAAUGAAAUCAAACUCAAGCUCAUGUAAACUAAUUUCCUUAGCAAAAUAGCAUGGAAUAUAAAAAUGUUUAGUUCUCAAAGGAAAGGACAUCCAGAGCUUCUUUCUUUCUUGUUUUUUUUUCUUUGCAUUUAAAUAAAGCUUGGUGAACUAAUAAAGCUGUUAUAAUUGUUCAAUCAAUCUUGCUAACGACUUGCUUACAUAAUUCACUUCUUAUCUACAUAUGUGUUUCGAUUCAUAACUAAUAUGGUGUUGGAAAGCGAUCCAUGUAUUUGUUUCCCUACUCCUUAUACAGAAAAUUCCAAGUUAUAUAUUUUAUCAAUUACCUUAUCACCGAAAAUGAUGGUCUUUCUUAAAAGACAAAUGUUUUUGUAUUUUUCAUUAUCAAAGUGAAUUUUCUAACCAGAUUUCUUUGGCCUCAUUGAUGUUUACCUCCCAAUUCAUCAAAGCUCGAAACCAUCGUAAUUUUCGUUUCAUGCAAGUAUAUCAUAUUAGAGUUGCUCUCAUAUCUCUCAUCAUUUAAUCACUCCAUAUUUGGAUCGUGAGUACUGACUCAAAUAUGUUGAUUUGACUCUAUGCACUAAAAAUAAUCGUGCAAAGAGAUAUAAGCAUGUAAUCAUAAUAAGACUUAGCAUAUAUAUUGCAUAUGUAAUCCCCUAUAUAUUAUUUGAAUAUUAUUUGAGAAGCAUUACAACAUUUUUUUGUAGCCACAUAUCAUUACUAGAAUGAUUCUUAGAAUCCUUAGAAAAAUAGGUUGGUCCAUCUAAAUAUAUAAUACGAUUUUUAUUAAAUUAACUAUAAAUACAUUAUUAAUGUGAUGCAUUACUUCCUUAAAUAAAAUUACAGAAUUGUCUAAUGUGGCUAAAAUAUAUAUAUGACAAUUGAUUAUUUUGAAUAAUAAAGAUUUGAUAAAAAUAAGUAUGUCUUAUAUUAUAUUUGUUUAAUUUUAAACUAUUAAAAUAAAUUAAACAACCAUAGUAACCAUAUAAUAAAAAUUAAAAAUUUUCUUUAUAUGUUAUAUUUUGAAUUUUUAAAAACGAAUAUAAAUUACUAAAACUGUUAAAAGUUUCAUAUUCAAAUUUUGUGAUCCAUGGUUUAAAUUUUCUGUUAUGACAUGAUACAAAUAAUUAAAAAAUUAUAUAAGUUGAAAGUCUCAUUUAAUAAGUAUUAAAAUAAAAGAUAUAAGAAUAUAUAUAUAUAUAUAUUAAUCCCACAAUGAUAAUUUUGUUAUCAGUAAUUUAAUUUUUUUGCUAUAACAGAUACAAAUGAUAAAAAAUAUAUGAGCAAAAUGCAUUAUUUAAUAAAUAUUAAUAUUAAAAUAUAUUAUAUAUGUUACUAUAAUUUAAAUUUAAUUAUAUAAUAUAUCAAAUAAAAAAAAUAUUGUUUGGAUUAAUAAAAUUUAUUUAUAUGUUUUUACCAAUUUAAUUAUAUAAGUAAUAGUUACUGAUUUUUUAAUUAUUCAAUAUAUAUUUAUUAUUUCAUAAUAUGUUAGAAACAUAUAAUAUAUAAAAUAGUUUAUAUAUAUAAUGUUCAUUCCGCGCAAGGCGCAGAUCUUAACCUAGUUUUUUAUUAAAGAUAAAUCAAACCAGUGAUGAGAUAUAGCUGAUCAAAAUAUUGCAAACAGAGUUUUUUUCAUUAAAUCUGAAAAAAGAAAAUAGAAAAAUAGUCCAAUUUAGCAAGAGCUAAAUCAAAACCAAUAGAUAGCUAUAUUUUUUUUUUGUCAACCAAAUUGCAUUGCAUUAAAAGAUCCAAGGUUAUUAUACAUAGUUUUUAUGAGUAACUCUAGCCUGUUUUGCUAAGGCAUCCACAUGACUUGGAGAUUCUCUGGAUACAUAAUGAAAAGUAUAUGCGCAUUCCUUGAUGCGGUUCAUUUUGAGAGUUUGUACUUUGUUCAGUCCUCAACUGAUUUAACUCUUCAAUCAUAUUCUUGCAAUCAGCCAUAAAAUGCAACUUGCUUAUAAUUGAGUCUUCGUAACUGUUGCACUGCUGACAGUAAUUCAGUAAAGCUGCAGCCUCUGCUUCUCCCACUGUGUUUACUGUCUUCAGAGAGGAAGACCCUUGGAGGAGACGGUUUCCUUCUUUACUAAAGAAGGACCAACCAAUCCCUAUGAGAUCUCUCGAUGAUUUCCAUGACGCGUCACCAGACAGUAGUAAGAAGCUUCAUGAGGCACCUCCGUUUGAAUUGUAGGGUUGGGCCUGCUCACAAUUGCUCUUAGUUGGUCUUCAUUCUUUUCUUUACUAAUUGCAUCUUCAUAUAAUUUAUAGCUAUAUAAUUGUUUACAAUUUCUUCAUAAAUAUUUUGCCUAACUGUUUUGUUAUUGUUGCUACGCGCACAAAAGAAAAAAAACGCUAUUGGGCUUUUUUUUGUUCGAAAGUUAACUUGGGCUUUCCAAGAUAAUCAAAUGUUAAAAGUAGCCUCCAAUUCGGAUUCUUCAGAUUUAAAAGUCGAAACCCACUUCGGAAUUCAAGUUCAACUUAUCUAGUCACACGCUAAUGGAUAUCUUUAAUCAGAAGUAAAUAAUAAAAAUUAUGGUAAAUGAGUUUAAAUACGUUAGUCAAUUCUCACACAUAAAUGCAUUUCAAUCCAUUCUGUCAACGUUCAAAUCCAAUUAUUAUUUAUUACCUUAAACAAAAAUAUUCCUUACUAUUAAAGCAAGAAGUAAUCUGUCACAUUUUCAUUUCCCAUUUUCGUAAGAUUCGCCUCCAAGUCUUCUAAACUUCUAGCACUAUAUAUCAAUACUCAUUCCCCAGGAACCAAAGACGCACUAAAACCUAAUCUCAGAUCUCGCCGCUUCUCUUUAACCAUGGUGGCCCUCAUGAAAAGUCUCUGUUUUUCUUUCGUCGUCUUAUGAGAAGUCUCUGUUUUUCUUUCAUCGUCUUGGCUUCUAUUGCGACCCUCUUCUCAGUUGCGGAUGCACAUAAGUUUCAGGUCGGUGGUAAAGGCGAUUGGGUCGAAAAACCACAUGAGGGUUACAAUUCUUGGGCUGAAAGUAAACGUUUCAAAGUCCAUGACACAAUCCGUAAGAUCCUUUCUAUUGCUAUUAGUUUAUAUUACGAGUUUUAUUUAUAUAUAUAUAUAUGUGAUUGUGUUUGACAAAAAAAUAUUAAAAUCUUGUGUAGACUUUAAGUAUGCCAAGGGAUCAGACUCGGUGCAAGUAGUGGCGAAAGCAGAUUACGACGCAUGCAACGUUAACAAUCCGAUAGAGAAGUUUGAUAAUGGAGAAACCGAGAUUGCUCUAAACCGAUCUGGUCCUUUUUAUUUCAUCAGUGGUAAUAAAGAGCACUGUGCUAAGGGACAGAAGUUGAUAGUCUUUGUCCUCGCCAUCAGAAAUCAACCUAAGGUACCCAUUUCCCCUGCCAAAGCUCCGUCGACUGCUCAACCCCCGAAGUCUCAUUCCCCGGUAGUUGCUCCGGCGAAGGCUCCCUCAACCGCUCAUUCGCCUAAAUCUCAUUCCCCGGUCUCUCCGGUUGCACCGGCCAAAUCUCCGACAGCUCACUCCCCCGCUUCUCAUAUUUCUCCGGCGAAGGCUCCGUGGACUGUUCAACCUCCAAAAGCCCAUUCCCCUGUUUCUCCAACUGCACCGGCGAAAGCUCCAACAAUGGCUCAUUCGCCUAAGUCCUCUGUUUCCCCAUCCCCGCACCCUGUUGCUCACUCACCGGCUGUGUCUCCGUCCAAAGCUCCAGCAACGACCCCAGCUAAACAUUCUCCUUCGCCGUCCCCCACAAACUCUCCAAAAUCAUCCCCUGCUACUCCUCCAAAGGCCUCACCAUCUACCCCAGAGAAACCUCCCAAGUCUACUCCAGCUUCUCCAGCGCCUGAGAAGACUCCACCUUCGUCCCCAACUCCUUCUGACGACAACAUGGCGCCGGCGCCAAGUCCCAGUGCAGCAGCUGUUGUGACCGUUACUUCGGUUAUGUCUACCCUCUUCACUGUGGCUUUUACCGUUUCGAUGUUUGCUUAAGUUUUUUCUUUUAAGAAUGGUUAUGUGUGUUUGAUUUACAUUUCUUUAUUCUGUUGUUGCUGGGUUUUUAUUAUUUGUUCUGAGUGUGUCCUUGUGUUUGCAUUAUGAAUUAUUACUUCUGUUAUUAAUAUCGCCGUGUUUGUUCUAAAAGCAUUUCAUUCGACAUUUAGAUGUAGGAGUGGGCAAAAAAAAAUGAACCAAACUAAACCAAACCGACCCUACUAAAUCCAAACCAAAAUAUACAUCUACAUCAUUUGGUUUGAGAUUUUAUAAACUAAAUGGUUCAGUAUGGUUUGGCUUUAAACCAAACCAAACCGAAUUGUUUUUUUUCUAAGUAGAUUAAUUAAAUAUAUUAAUAAUACUGAAAUUUAAUAUAUUUAACAUUUAAUUUAAACUAGUAAACAUAAUUUUAUCCAUUUUACUUUUAAAUGAAUAAGAUACAUACAACUACAAAUAAAAUAAAGAAUAUAAAUUGUAUAGAUUAACAUCAAAAUUGAAAAAUUACCAUGUAUAUUAGGUUUGAAAAUAAUAAUAUAAAAUUAUUGGAUUACAUAAAUAAAUUUGGACACUAAAUCAAUAUUUUCUUCAUAUGAUGGCGUAAAUUUGGAGGAGGUGAAGGCAACAACUGAGCUCGUUUCAAAUUAUUUUAUUUUAUUACUCUUUGUUUUUAUGUUUAAAUUUUAAAAUCUAUGUUAAAAAUGUUAUCUUUCAAUAUGUUUUAUUUAAUAAAUUAAUUUUAUCUUUAAAAAAAAAUUUAUAAUUAUUUUGUUAAGAACUCUUAGUUAAGAAACUACCAUUGGAGGCACAAAAUCGAACAGUUUCUUAACUAGAAUCCUUAAACCCACUUAAAUACAUUUAAUUAAUUAAAUAAUUAUUAAAGAAACCCACUUGAGUUUCAUGGAUAAUCAUGCUCUAAAUGCCUCUCAAUCCUUUCUGUCAACGUUCAAAUCCAAUUAUGAUUUAUUACCUUAAACAAAAAUAUUCCUUACUAUUAAAGCAAGAAGUAAUCUGUCACAUUUUCAUUUCCCAUUUUUGUAAGAUUCGCCUCCAAGUCUCCUAAACUUCUAGCACUAUAUAACAAUACUCAUUCCCCAAGAACCAAAGACGCACAAAAACCUAAUCUCAGAUCUCGCCGCUUCUCUUUAACCAUGGUGGCCCUCAUGAGAAGUCUCUGUUUUUCUUUCAUCGUCUUGGCUUCUAUUGCGACCCUCUUCUCAGUUGCGGAUGCACAUAAGUUUCAGGUCGGUGGUAAAGGCGAUUGGGUCGAAAAACCACAUGAGGGUUACAAUUCUUGGGCUGAAAGUAAACGUUUCAAAGUCCAUGACACAAUCCGUAAGAUCCUUUCUAUUGCUAUUAGUUUAUAUUACGAGUUUUAUUUAUAUAUAUAUAUAUGUGAUUGUGUUUGACAAAAAAAUAUUAAAAUCUUGUGUAGACUUUAAGUAUGCCAAGGGAUCAGACUCGGUGCAAGUAGUGGCGAAAGCAGAUUACGACGCAUGCAACGUUAACAAUCCGAUAGAGAAGUUUGAUAAUGGAGAAACCGAGAUUGCUCUAAACCGAUCUGGUCCUUUUUAUUUCAUCAGUGGUAAUAAAGAGCACUGUGCUAAGGGACAGAAGUUGAUAGUCUUUGUCCUCGCCAUCAGAAAUCAACCUAAGGUACCCAUUUCCCCUGCCAAAGCUCCGUCGACUGCUCAACCCCCGAAGUCUCAUUCCCCGGUAGUUGCUCCGGCGAAGGCUCCCUCAACCGCUCAUUCGCCUAAAUCUCAUUCCCCGGUCUCUCCGGUUGCACCGGCCAAAUCUCCGACAGCUCACUCCCCCGCUUCUCAUAUUUCUCCGGCGAAGGCUCCGUGGACUGUUCAACCUCCAAAAGCCCAUUCCCCUGUUUCUCCAACUGCACCGGCGAAAGCUCCAACAAUGGCUCAUUCGCCUAAGUCCUCUGUUUCCCCAUCCCCGCACCCUGUUGCUCACUCACCGGCUGUGUCUCCGUCCAAAGCUCCAGCAACGACCCCAGCUAAACAUUCUCCUUCGCCGUCCCCCACAAACUCUCCAAAAUCAUCCCCUGCUACUCCUCCAAAGGCCUCACCAUCUACCCCAGAGAAACCUCCCAAGUCUACUCCAGCUUCUCCAGCGCCUGAGAAGACUCCACCUUCGUCCCCAACUCCUUCUGACGACAACAUGGCGCCGGCGCCAAGUCCCAGUGCAGCAGCUGUUGUGACCGUUACUUCGGUUAUGUCUACCCUCUUCACUGUGGCUUUUACCGUUUCGAUGUUUGCUUAAGUUUUUUCUUUUAAGAAUGGUUAUGUGUGUUUGAUUUACAUUUCUUUAUUCUGUUGUUGCUGGGUUUUUAUUAUUUGUUCUGAGUGUGUCCUUGUGUUUGCAUUAUGAAUUAUUACUUCUGUUAUUAAUAUCGCCGUGUUUGUUCUAAAAGCAUUUCAUUCGACAUUUAGAUGUAGGAGUGGGCAAAAAAAAAUGAACCAAACUAAACCAAACCGACCCUACUAAAUCCAAACCAAAAUAUACAUCUACAUCAUUUGGUUUGAGAUUUUAUAAACUAAAUGGUUCAGUAUGGUUUGGCUUUAAACCAAACCAAACCGAAUUGUUUUUUUUCUAAGUAGAUUAAUUAAAUAUAUUAAUAAUACUGAAAUUUAAUAUAUUUAACAUUUAAUUUAAACUAGUAAACAUAAUUUUAUCCAUUUUACUUUUAAAUGAAUAAGAUACAUACAACUACAAAUAAAAUAAAGAAUAUAAAUUGUAUAGAUUAACAUCAAAAUUGAAAAAUUACCAUGUAUAUUAGGUUUGAAAAUAAUAAUAUAAAAUUAUUGGAUUACAUAAAUAAAUUUGGACACUAAAUCAAUAUUUUCUUCAUAUGCAAAACCCAUCAAUUUCAUUUUUGUUGCAUAUGCAUAAUUGUAUAAAAUAUUUUUUUUGUUAUGAUAAUGUGAACCCCACCCCCCUUCUUUUUUUAUUUUUUAUUUCAUUUUAUUUGAAGAAAUUAAUUUUAUAGUUAUAUUUUGUAACUGAAUGAGAACAAAAUUUAAAAAUCAACUCGAUUGAACUAAACAAACACAAACAAAACCAUAUUAAACUGAAUUAAACACAAACUAAACCGAACUAAAAUCAAACUGAACCAAACUAAUUUGUGUUGACUUUGGUUAUAGUUUUUUAAACCCAAAUAAACCGAACCCAAAAACUAAACCGAACCAAAACCAAACUAAAACCAAACUAGGGGACAUGUACCUCGAUAACUUUUUUAAAACUAUUGAAACAUUCCAUAUACCAGUGUAUUCACAAUAUAUGAACAAAGUCAAUACAGAAGUUCAAAAACUAUGGGCUUUUAAUGAAAUAGCCCACAAAAAAAAGAGCAAGAAAAACGCUGUGCUUUUAAAAGAAAAACAUUUUAAAAAUCUAAAAGAAACGAAGAAGAGAGAAAAAAGGAAUCAAUCACACUGUUGGGAAAGCAGCCAAGAGAAUCGGUUUUCAAUCUCUCCGAGAAUCAAAUGGCUGCGGCGGAGGCGAUGAUCGGCUUUCCGCAGGCGUAUCUGGAGAGUAGAGAGGUGAAGGAGACAAGCUCGCUAGUAACUGAACUCUGCCGUCACUUUUACACACAGGGUUGGGUGUCCGGAACAGGAGGCAGCAUCACCAUCAAGGUCCACGAUGCUUCUAUCCCUAAACCCGACCAGCUCAUCGUCAUGUCUCCUUCAGGUUUCUCUCUCUCCCCGUGUCUGUGUUUAGUAGUGUUCUUUGUUUUGUACAUUUGAUUGAAAUGAAAAAAAAAAGGUUUAAACUUGUUGUGGUGGGUGCUGAUUCGAGUUUGUGAUGUGGUGAAGGUGUUCAAAAGGAGAGGAUGGAGCCUGAGGAUAUGUACAUCUUAUCUCCUAAUGGAUCUGUUAUAUCUGCACCCUCUCCUAAGCCUUACCCUAAUAAGCUUCCCAAGUGUACUGAUUGUGCUCCUCUUUUCAUGAAGGUAUUUCUUUUUUUUUCUGUGUAAUUAGGCAAUCUUCAUACCCUAAAAAAUAAAGAACAUCAAAAUGAUUGAAUAUGCAUGAAAACCUAGGUUGCAUGGAAACAGAAACGGAUACGUUGAAACGAAACGUUUCGAAAUGUGGAAACGUGAUUUUUGAUUUUUUAUGAUUUGGAAACAUUUUAGAAACGUCUAUAUAUAUAUAUAUAUAUAUAUAUAUAUAGUGAGGAAGCUUUAAUAUGAAACACAAGAAUGAUUUUUUCACAUUUUCAGAUAAUAGCCUAUCCUAAAGCAACAGCAGUGUUGGUACGCAAUCAUGGAGUUUACAUUUGGGGUGAUUCCUGGAUCCAUGCUAAGACUCAGGUUUCUGAAAGCCACUUCUGUUUUGUUAUGUUUCAUUCAAAUACAUUUGCUAUAUAAAAACUUGUAUGCUUGCUUGUUUCCAGGCUGAAUGUUACCAUUAUUUGUUUGAUGCUGCCAUCAAGCUUCAUCAACUGGGUCUGGAUGCUGCUACUCCAGAACACGGGCCUAUCGAAAGAGCCAUACACUCACAAAACCAAACAGAAUCAACUCGGGUAUAAAGCCUAUGGUUUCUAUCGUCUUACAUGUUACAUCCAAUAGUCAAGGAUUCACAAAAAUCUAGUUUUAGUUAUAUUCUUUUUUUGGUUGCACAGAGAUGCAUUGUCCUAGAUAUUGAAGGGACAACAACACCCAUAACAUUCGUCACGGAUGUUCUCUUUACCUAUGCUCGUGAAAACGUUGGGAAGCAUUUGAGUUUGACGUACGACACAGCAGAAACUCAAGAGGAUAUUAAGUUGCUGCGGUCUCAGGUAAUAACGAAUUUUCUUUAUUGUCUUAUCAUCUCUUGUAAUAAACAAGUGACCAAAGUUCAUCUCUGGUAUAUAUGUUGCAGGUUGAGGAAGACUUGAGACAAGGUGUAACCGGCGCUGUUCCCGUACCUCAUACUGGUGAAGGAAAAGACGAGGUCAUUGCAGCUAUCGUCUCUAAUGUGGAGGCAAUGAUAAAAGCCGAUAGAAAGAUCACUGCUUUAAAGGAAUUACAAGUGAGGAAACAAAAAAACAAGAUUCCAACUUUUUAUGUUCUGUUUUGUUGAUUUUUGUAAUGUCUGAUAUGGAGUUUCUGUAUUGAAGGGUCACAUAUGGCGAACAGGUUUCAAAUGUAAUGAACUGAAGUCUGUCGUUUUCGAAGAUAUAGCAGACGCUUUAGAGAAAUGGCAUUCUUCAGGAACUAAGGUAUGUUCAUGUAAAGCUUUUAGGAGAAAUGUCGUUUUUAUUUAUUUUUGUUCACAGGUCUAACGUGGUGUUGUGAAUAGGUUUACAUAUAUUCUAGUGGUAGUAGAUUAGCGCAAAGGCUUCUCUUUGGGAACACAACCUAUGGAGAUCUGAGGAAGUAUUUAUCUGGCUUUUUCGACACUACAAUCGGGUAUAUAAAAAGAGUCCAUCACUUCCAUUUUCAAUAGAAGAUGAUGAUCCAAAGUCUCAAACGUUUCUUGGCUGCAGAAACAAGAAAGAGAGCAGGAGUUACAAGGAGAUUACAGAAACUCUUGGAGUGGAUGAUCCUUCAGAGAUUCUUUUUGUGACAGAUGUUUAUCAAGAAGCUACUGCUGCAAAAGCCGCAGGUAAUAAACACAUGCACAAAACUCUUACCUCUAGAUAAUAUUUUACCUGUGGAACUGGUUAGAGAUUCUGAUGACCUUUUGCGGUUGUGAAAAGGUCUGGAGGCGAUUAUAUCGAUUCGACCUGGAAACGCUUCCCUACCAGAGAAUCACGGGUUCAAGACUGUCACAUCAUUCUCACAAAUUUAGAGAUUCCUCUAUGUGUUGUUUCCUAUUGGUGUUGUACUUGAUAUGAUCACACUUACCAAAUAAAUAGCUUGAUAAUAAAUCUAUAUGUAGAGAGCUUGACAAAGCUCGACUCUGAUUUAUCAGUGAAUUCAGUAAAGUUUGGUUCUUGCAUGUGAGUUAUGAAGUGGGCAAAACGUAACUACUGGGGCCAAAUCUAUUACUAAAAUAUAUUUUAUAUUUUCAAAUAAUAGAAAAGAUAGAACAAAUCUAUACAUAACAUUUAGGAUAACAAGAAUAUAAUUCUGGAAGGUCCAUUUAGGAUAAACAAAACUAUUAAUUUACAUUUUAAAUUAUGAUAGAAUGUGCAUAUUAUUAGGUAUAUAAUACAUAUCAUUUUCAAAAAAUGGCUAUAUUUUAUGUGUUAGUACAUUAGAACAUUACUAGCAUAUCCAAAUAGAAUCCCUUGUACAUUAAUUGAGGAUCAUUAAAAGUUGUAACCUUAAAUUUGUACCAAUUAAAAAGAGAUCAUGUUUAGGUGUCGCUUAAUUAGUAUGACAAUUUAGCUUACGUGGCAGUUUAAGAAUUAAUUAAAAAAAAUGUUGAUCCAAAUCUAAUUACUAUGGAACAUUAUAUUAACCUAAAAUAUAAGAAGCGUGUAUUCUUUUCUUAAAUAAAAGCUACAAAAUUACAUAAUAUGAUUAACAUAUAUAUGACAAUAAAUGACUAUGAAUAAUACAUAUUUGAUAACAAUUUUUGCAUCUUUCUUCAUUUUUGUUUAAUUUUAUACUAUUAAAAAAAUUGAACAAUCACAUUAACCAUAUAAUAAAAAAUUAGAUGUUUUUUUAUAUGUUAUAUUUUGAAUUUUUUAAAAUGACUUUAAAUUACAAAAAUGAGGAAACCUUAUAUGUUAUAUUUUUUUAUAUGUUAUAUUUUGAAUUUUUUAAAACGACUUCAAAUUACAAAAAAAUGUAAGUUUUCCUUAAGCAUACGACUAAAAGCAUUAAAAUGACAUGUAUCAAUUCGAUGAUUGAUCUGAAACCUUUCAAAACCAAAUGAAAGAUAAAUUUCAAAAUAAUUCAACUAUGGAAACAAUACUAUUCACUUUUUUCAAAAAUGUGUUUGGUGGAAAAAAAUAAGGUUUUUGUGUCAUAAUUUGUUUAAUGUCCAAUCCGAUCAACCCAUGAUAUAUUAAUUAUAGUUUAGUUCUAUAAUUUUUAAUAAAAAUUGAUCCGGUCCAUCGAAAAAUAUAUAUAAUAACAACAAAAACAUUGUAUAUGUAUAAAUAAAAUGAUCAAAUAUAUAAAUUAAAUUGUCGAUAAUAUAUAUAAAUAAACUCAUCCCGUACAAAGCGCAAGUCUUAUCCUACUUACAAGUUAUACUUUUAAAAUCUAUGUUUUCAAAAACUGAGUGUGUCAGUUUAUGUUUAGCGGAGAUGAUUUGAGUGAAAUACCUUAGUAUACCUGCUGCAACUGGUUGCCACUAUCCAACUUCAGUGAAAGAAGCUAAUCAGAGAGAGAGACUAGAAAAAAGUAUGAGAGAUCUCUAAAACCAUAAAACCAUUAAACGGGCAUUUGAUUAUUUGGGAAUCAAUCACUACCCCACACAUCACACGCGAGGAACUGAGUGACAAAACUCACAGAUUCUGCAGAGAUGCUUUAGCUAAUGCAACCGUUAUCACAAGAUUCAUAAGUUAAAACAAAGUUCAAAAUUGUCGCGGGUAACAAUUAGAUAUAGUUCAAAAAUAAUAUAGCUCUGAGACUUAUGAGGAAGUAUAGGCUAUAGCAAAAAUUUCUCCAAAGGGCAUACACAUUAUAAUCUCACAGAGAACAUAUAACAAGACUCAUUACAAAACUGGUUGACUAUACAUGGGCGGAUGUAGAAAGAAAUUUGAGAGGUGGAAAAUUAUAGAUAAAUAUGAUAAAAAGAAAUAAAAAUUUCAUGGGGGUAAGUGCCACAUUCUUGAGGUGGAACUAUAUCUUGACAAUUUGUUUAAGUAGAUAGUUUUUAAAAUCAAAAGGGACACUAACUUCAUAACGGUCUUUUGCAAUGUCUUUCCUUUGUCUAACAUUUUUUUGUUGUUGAUAAAGACUUUGACAAAAGAAAAACAAAUGUAAUGAGUAAUAGUUGACUAGUAUUUUUAUAUGGAUAUAUAAAACUGGAUAAAGAAACUAUAAGCCAAAAAGAAUAUAUUAGCGUUGUUUGGUUAUACAUUAAAAGAAGAGAUAAACUGUUAUAUGAGGGAUUAGUUAUGUAGAACUUUGAUAACAACUUGGUUUUAAUUUGCGGUGAUAAUAUUAAAAUUAAGAUUUAAGUUGUUUGGUCGCAUAUCUAAAGUUGUAUAUCCAAAUAUCGUAAUUUUCAGAUAAUGUAAGUUGAAAAGGGUAGCACAUUCAAAGUGGAGUUGCUUGUAACGUGAAGCAAAGAUGAUUCAUUCGCCUUUUGCUUGGUUUUCAACUCUAAUCAUAACGGACUACUUAUUUUGUCUUUUACUUUCUUUUACUCUUUUUCUCCACCUUUUAUUUAAUUUAAAUUUAUUUACAUUCAAAAAAUUAUUUUCCUUCCAAGACAAAAGACAAAGCAAUAGAAGAACAGUAUUAACAUAUAGCUAUUUUUUUAUUCAAGAAAAAUUUGAAAAAACUAUAGACAGAAGAGGAGAAAGUCCAAAGAAUAUGUAGUAAAAGACCAAACGUGCCUCCAUGAUUACUCCAUCAAAUUCAAAGUCAUCACCACCAAAAUGGUCUUCUAUACUAACCUGAUCAUAGAAGUCUUUAUUUCAUAUUGUCUCUCCGAAACUUUCUACUAUAUAUUAGGAGUAUUAGAUAUUACAAUAUUUUCAUAUUACUCGCCAAACUUCCGAUGGAUAUUUACUUAUAUAGACAAAGACCAUUCAUUCUACUCAUGUUUUCUAAUCGUAACCAUCUAAACUUUGAUAUUGUUUUUAUUUGUUGCUGAAAUUUUGACAAAACAGUUUUGUAAGAAUAUUAUUGUCUAUAUCAUAAAGUUGAGCAUAAACAUGAAUCUAUUCGAUCUCGAUACUGAGUGACACACGUUGAAUUACACAUCAUAUAUCAGUAUGAUCACAAUAUAUAAAGGAUCUUUUGUUUAAAAAAAAGAACAAGUCUUAAAUCAGUAUCAUGAUUCAUGAAUAUAUCUUACCUUCCAAUCACAAAUUGCACCGAGUUACUGAGAUUAAUAGUGAGCAUAUAACCGCAUAAACUUUACAGUCGCUCCAUUACUAAUAACUUACAUCUUAGUUAUAUAUAGGUAAACAAAAUCCGAUAAUAUAUUAAUUUAUUAUAGAAUGUGAACACACGUUGGUCAUCGUCAAGAUUUAUGGAUUCCUGGGAGAAGUAACCGGAAAAAGAGGAAGAAGCAGUGGCUGAGAGUCUCUAGGAGUUGAAACUGGAGAAGGGUGAAGAUAAAAUCCUUUUUCAGCAAUGGCUUUGUCUUCUUCAGAUGAACUCCCUAAAGACAAAGGCGAUGACUUGUUGAAGGGGUCAUCGUUGCUUCUCAGUGGCGUAACGGGACUGUUUAGCCCUAGCUUUGGGAAAUCUAGCAUGCUUGGAGACAGAAGAACAUUCUCUGAUGAGCUGUUCCUUGGAGAGAAUCUUGGGCUUUGACCAUUGUGUCCGCUCGAGAACAUCAACCUCUGGGAGUUUUGAAGCCUUAAAGUAUUGAUCAUUAAAUUAUUCUUACCAAACAUGUUGUUAUUGUUUUGUCUUCUUUCGUAGAGUUUAAAACUGUUGGUUUUCUUGAUGGGUGGGAUUGAGAAACCUACUUUGUUGUUGUUCACCGGAGAAGGAGCUUUGUGGUGGUUUUCAGUUUUGGUAUCGGUGGAGGAGCCGGUCAGCAUCUGCACAACUUGUUUGAAAGUGGAAGUGUCUGCUUGAACAAAUGUUGUUGGGUAAGGGUUUGAGAGAUGUUGAUGUUGGUCAUGAUGAUGAUGACGAGGAGAUCUUGUCUGAGGCUGAAACCUAGGAGAUGUGAUUAUGGGAGGGUAGUUUUGCAUGAUUUGUUCUGGUUUUGAACAGAUGGAUGAUGUUGAUGAGACCUCCAUUAAUGUUAACCCUUUGUGUGUAUAUGAGGGGGUGGGGAGAGGAGAGAAGAGAAGAUUGAUUGAUUGAAAGACAAUAAGAAGAAGAGUGGAAGUUGCCGAUGUGAAUAAUGUGUAAUGUUGUUUGGUUUUGUCGUGCGACGACAAUUAAAAAGACUUUAAGGUGAGGUGUCAUGGACCCCUCUCUCUCUCUCUCUCUCUCUCUCUCUCUCUCUCUCUCUCUCUCUCUCUCUCUCUCUCUCUCUUAAAACUUUCCGUAUUUCUUUCUGUGAAAUUAAAUUUUCUUUUUUUUGUUAAAAAAAACAAAUUCUUUUAGAGCAUGGCAUUCUAUAUAAUGGGGGUUUUUUCUUUUGUUUUUCGGUAAAAUAUUACAAGUGGACCUGAUUUUAGUUCAAUUGGCAUUGUUAUUUUUGUGUGUGUUUACCUAAACAAAAUAUAAAAAUUAAUGUUAUAUAUUAAUAGUAAUAACUUAUAUAAACUAAAAAUACAAAAACAAGAUAAUUAAUAAACUAAAAAUAGAUAGUCAAAUUCAAAAUAAUAAUCUUGUAACCAAAAAACUUAUUAUAACACAUAAUUAUGAUCUCAUAUUCUGAUAGAUUGUUUCCAGAUUCAUCAAAAUUAUUAAAAUACUAUCCAAAUGAAUUAUAUGAAAAAGAAAUUGUUGAUUCAUUAUUUUCUUUAAGAUUUGAGUUUGUUUCUCUUAAAUGUUCAGAUGUUUGGUGUUUGGUUUUCUAUGAAAUUUAGGUUUUGAAGUAACAUUGGAUUUUAUUCGUUGAACUCUUUCAAUGUAUAAUAUUUAUUUUGCAUCUUCAAAUGGUGUUGUCUUUUAGUGAUAUUAUGAUAGUAGUAUCUUAUGUUACAAAAAAAUAAAAGUAGAGUUUUAACAUUUUGUAAGUUAUAAUUAAUAAUAAAUUAGUGAAUAAUUAAAAAGUAACAGUUGAUUAUUUUAAGGACUUAUUUGGUACUACUUCACUUUCAGAUUUUGAAAGUUUUUUGAAAAAGAUCCCAUCUUCUAUUAUUCAGCAAAUGAAAAUCAAAUUGACAACGGAGGAAGAAGUAAAACAAACUUUGUUUAUGAUGUACCCGGAUAAAGUUCUUUGCCCGGAUGUAAUUACAUUACGUAUUAGAUUGCAAGCUUUUUAAUUUACGUUUUGUAGUUUCUAUUAUAUUGAGGAUUAAUUUUUUUUAUAUUUCCGCUUGUAUUAUAUUCUCAAACAACAUGUAAAUAGAUACGUUACAAAGGGAACUAAAUUGAAAUAUAACCUUUAUGAGCUCGAAUAUGUUCUCGUUUUAUGAAUUCCAACAACAUUUACACAAAUUAGUGUGAACACAUGAGGAAACAAGUUAAAAACGGUGAUCGUAUCAAAUUCGUUUUAUUUUUGAUUACUUUGUUGUCAACAAAUAUUAAGAAGACAGAAAAUAGAGGAAAAAAAAAAGAUAAGAGUAAGAAUUGUGGGGACUCGAAUUUCCAUUGGUGAAAAUUGUCGUCCCUCCAUGAAGAAUCAAAUUCUUUCAAACUUCAAAUCAUUAGUGUUUUCCAGAAUCCAGUGAUUAAAGAUUUCCUUAAUUGCACACAAAUGUGCAAAGCGAAGCAUAUAUCGAUCUUAUUAUUUAAAACAUCAAGGAAUUCGAAGUCUUCUUUUUUUUUUUCGGUCAAAAGGAAUUCGAAGUCUUCUUGAACUCUAUUGUUGGUAGAUAAAUACCACAAUGAAUCAAUGAUCAGAGUGCACAAAAAGUAGGGUCGGCCCAAACAUUCCGAAAUUUCUUUAUGGCUCUAAAUCAAUGUAGCAAAAUAUAUAACCAAUGAAAACAUAUAAUGGACAUUUUAACAUAAUUUUAUACGUUCUAAUCAGUCGUUUAUUUGACUUUAUGCUAUUGCUAGCACCGAUUAGAAGAUAUAUUUUUUGACCCUAAUUACUUAUAUGUAAUGUACAUACAGGUGUAGUGUGUAUGUAUAACGGAAUAUAACAAAGCUAAUUUCUUCUUCUGUUUUUUUUUCACUGAAAAUUUAAGAUGAUGAAUUCCACCACAAAGAAAAUAAAACUGAGUCGCAAUACUUAGAAGUUUAAAUAAAAAAUAAAUAAGCUAAACUCCAUGUGUUCAAUAUACGUUCAUCACAUAUUUUUAUUACAUAUAUAAAUAUCAAAUAACUGCAAGGCUACAUAUUAAUCAAAAGAUAAGAGUCAACAACCCUUGGAUAGAUAUUGUAUAUACUUAGAAAAUCCAGAAAAGAUUUUGCCUAAAUGGCUUCGUUUGAAAUCCUUAGGCUUUAGAUAGAUAAACCUAUCUAAUUAUUAGUAGUAGUAGUAGUAGUAUGGUAGGAAUAAAAUAAAUAAAUUAUUAUUAGGAACGUGCUUUCUCAUUUGUUCAAUCCCGUCUUUUCCUUAAUGGCCUCAGUGGCACCCUGUGCUUUCUGCUUCAGCUGCUGUCCACCCUGUGCUCCAAUUCUCAUAAAUACGUGAUUGUUUCAUAAAAAUAUAUUUAAGCAUGAGAAAAGAAAAUGGACCUCUGACAAAGAUUCCUUGGCGGAUUGGGCAGCAUUGGAGGCCUUGUCCAUCAGGUUGCUUGCCUUCUCCUACAACAAUUUUUAGUUACUUCUAAUUAAUAUUAAUUAUUAAUCUAAAAACAAUAUUUGUUUAAGCUUAGAUAAACGGUGUUGUAUAGACAAAACCUGGGUUUGGCCUUUAGCUUGGCCAGCGUUGAAGCUCAGGUUCUGACUGUUGUUAGACAUUUUCUUAUCUCCGCUUAAAAAACGAAAUUAUAAUUUGCAAGGGAAACUUGUGACUUCUGAGAAAGAGCAUUACGCAUAGAGGUUUAUAUACAUGUGGGGUCCUCCUGUCGUUACCUCCACGUGGAUUUUUGUUAUUGGAAGUCUGUGUAGUCUUUAACACGUGGCUUUUAAGCUUAGUACUCUCCGGUCGGAUUGGGGGGAGGGAGGUGUUGACCACGAGACAAGCAAAUCUGUUAUAGACUUGUUCCAAAUUCCAAUGUACUUAAUAUAGUCUAAUAUAGUUCUGUUUAUAACCCUUUUUGUGUAGUGCAUUAUCAUUUUAUUUUUGUAUUACAUAUUAAAGGGACACAUAAACAAUUGUAUAAUAGAUAUAACCAAUACUCCAUCAAUGGUCUGCCUCAACACUAAAUAAGAUUCAAAACUUUGAGAAAAUAAUACCAAAAUAGAUAUUAUCCUUCAUUUAUUCGUUAAAGCUAAGAACUCAUGUAUACAACAACAAAAGAUGCUAAGUACCUUUGAGAUAGUCUACUAAUAUCAGUAGAUGGUAAAUAAUAUCUCAUCCAAAGAUUGGAAAAGCAUCAGGUUUUCACGUUCUGAAUGUAAGCUCAUGAAAAAGGAGCUUGUUCGUGCUUGACAUAACAUGGAGUAGAAGGAGUGCUGAAGAUGUUCGUGUUAUAUCUGAGGAAUGACAGUAUUGAAGACCCACGACGGGUAUGAACAAGCAAAUUCAUGUCCAUAAAUUUGCGGGUCUCGCGGGUGAGACCAUGCGGCUUGCGGGUGGGUGGAUAGAGUCCGUGAUCGGUCCGCAGGUCAGCCGAUUGUCCGCAUAAAAUAAAUCAAUAUAAUUUUCAGUCGGCUUCAUUCGGUGGAUCUUAUUGAUUCCAAUUCGGAAUCAGUCACCAUGUUUUUUUUUCAAUUUGAACUUCUGCAUGUUAUCUCUUGAGUAGGUAGAAGGGUGAAGUGUUUGCAUGUUCUUCAAUGGAGGAAGCAGAUGGAGAGGUCAUUGCUUCCGCAGAGAUUAUUGCCUCUUCUCGCUCUCAUCGCUGGUUGCAGUGAGGCUGCCACGACCGAAGGCCCUGUUGAAGCGUACCCAGCCCUAAUUUUAAAUGCGGUCAAUAUACUGUUUAAGUAAAAAAAAAAUGUAAAAGGGGUCAAGAUGGAUUCAAACCUGGAUUUUUUGGGUUUGUUUGGAAGGUGUUAGUGGAAAAUAAAUUUUUAAUGAUUUAAUUUUAUGCAGUCUUGUGUUAUUGGUUUAUAGAUUUUCACAUUCUCGCUAAAAUCUAUUGUUAUUAUGAUAGAUUCUAUAAUUCUAUACAAAAUUUUGUUAUUUAAAAAGUUUAGAUUUUAAUGAUUUAUAAAUCUAUUAAAGUUAGUGUUAUUGGAAGUUUUUAUUCUUAACCAUUUAACUUAUGUAACAAUAUUUGAAGAAUACUACAUAUAUCCAACUUUACCGCAUGCUUUCCUUCACAGUUCCUUGUCCAUCUUUCUAAGUUAAUUAUUAAAUAAAAACAAAACAUCAAUUAGUAUAUGCCUAUCAUCACUAUUAAACACGAAAUCAAGCGCAAAAUUCAAAAUAUAAGCAAAAUUUAACCAAAUUCAGAGAUAAACUUGAGAAAAUAAAACAAAAUAUAAAACAAAAAAAUAUUAUAAACAAAAUUAAAUAGUUGUAGAGGAAAAACUGCAUUCCUGAUAAAAUAACUAAGAAUUGUGGGUUGAUCUGAAAUCAUAGUAAAAUAUUCUAAUGAUAACGUUGAGGAAUGCAGUUUUUCUUCUACAACUAUCUAAUUUUGUUUAUGAGGAGGUAGAAAAUCUGGUCUACAACUACCUCCUCACCCAGUCUUUUUUUGUAAGACUUUCCCAAAAUGAAUCGGAGGAGUCAUAUGAGUCCACCAGGCCCAUACUAGUACUUGCUCCCCCAUCGCUAGCACUUUGCAGAUUACAGAAUGAGUCCGCCGGGCUAGUGUAUUCAACCUUGCAAACGACGUAACUCCUCUGCAAAAUCAAUCCACAAAUGACAAAACAAAGUUACAAAAAUAUGAUUUUUAAUUUUUUUUUAACGGACAAGAAAAGAGAGGAGCGCACCAUUUCUUCCGGAAAGGAGAGGUCGGAGAACUUAUGCAUGAUCCACUCGGUUCACUUUCCAUGUGGACUCUUCCCUGUCAAGAAAACCAAAGUCUUCUUAAGACCGAUUUGACAAUGACUGCCCGAUUCUAAAAGGGCAAGAAAACAGAGCAUCGCUUUAUUUAUAAUCUGAUUACUCUCCUCAAAUUGUAUUGCUUCUUUUUGAAGUUAUAUAUCAUACCAUCUUUUGCAUGGUUGAAUACUUGAAUUAACAAUGUUUACUUUAUGAUAAAUUACGUACUAUUUUUUUAAUUUAAAAUAGAUGAAUAUAAUUACACAUGUCUUUGAUGUGUUUGUUUGAAUUUUAGGUUUGAAAUUUUUUCAGUUCUUCUAUGUUCAUCAUUCCUAUUUAAUAUAAAAUCAAUAAAAGAGUUAAAUAUAAAAAUUUUAAAACUAUAAGAAAACUAAAAGCAAAAAAUAUAUAUAAUCUUGAAAAAUAAAACAAAACAAAAGGAAAAUAAAAUAGAUAUGUUAAAAUGAAUUUGGAUAACUUGAAUAUAAAAACUAAUAUAAUGGUAAAAUAACAAAGAAUUAUGAGUCAAAAUGUUGAUAACUAUAAAAUAUCAUCGAAGCAUCAGAAUGUUAUUACAAUUAUACUUUUAACCAUUAUAUUAAAAACGAUUUUUAGAAAUUAGAAACUCCAAAAUUCAUUUAUCUGGAGUUUAAGGAAAAUAUUUCUUAUUAAAACAAAAGUCGUGAUUUAUUCAAUGUAUGAUUUUUAGACCAUAUUUUUGAAAGUCAUGAUUUUAAAUGGGGUUAUCAUUAAUUUUCAUAAUAAUUAAACUUAAGAGCUUCAUUAACUAAACAUCUAUUACAUUCGACCAAAAUAUUUUUCGUUGCUCUAAUCCACGACCAAAAAAUCAAUCUUUCUGAUUUUCCGGCUUAUAUUUUUAAAACCAUAUAACUUUCAGUUUAAUUUAUUAUACAUGAAUCUAUAUUAUAUCAAAUUCAACCUGUUUAUGAUUAUGAAACCAUUAUAAACCCUAUUCAAUCACGAAUAAUAUAGAUCAUAUUCAACAUUGAUAUAACAAUGGAACCAGUUUAUUUUCAGUGGCGUUUUAUAUUUGUGAAUCCGAUCAAUAUAUAUAUAUAUAUAUAUAUACGACAAGUUUAUUUAAACUACUUGACUAAGUUUAUACACAGUCUACUAAUCCAAUUUUUAAAAUAUAGUAAAUAUGUAGUAUAGAUAUGGUUGGAACUCUACAUCAUAACUUCAAAACUUCGAACAAUUUUUUUCUUUUUGAUAUAUAAUUUGUCUUAAAAAAUCUUCACAAAAGGUAGAAUCAAUUGAUAUUGUGUUGGUAAGAUUGAAAAUUUAGAAAUAUAUUGUGGUAUCAAAGGGAAGUCCCCAAACUGAAACCUCAUAAAUUUGGGAUUCUUCUUAUUCUUUUUGAGAUCCAAGGCAGCCAUGUAUGUAGGCACAUCCUGUAGUGAGGAGGUAGAAAACUGGUCUUUCCGAGGAUAAAUGAUGCUAGAGUUGAUUUCGCAGGAGAAAUAAAUGUUGAUAAUCGUCCAGUUUGAAUCUCGAUUAGGCAUACAGUAACAAAGUUUGGAUCCAAAAAAGGUGAAACUCACUAUAUAAUCAUCGUCUUUGUUGGGAAGAUAAGUGGACAAGGAAACAUUUCCGACUAUUUCGGCAUGCAGAACAAGGUGACCAGUAAAUGGAGGCAGGGUAAUGGUUUUGGGAGAUGACUCUAAAGACCAAGGAUUAAGGACUUGGGUGAGAUGUAUGGUGAAAUCAGGGUGUCUCAUGAAAACUGCCCAGCAACGUGAGGUUCCAAGCAGUUUGCAUCCGUCCAACAAUACUUUUGGGAAUUUCUUGCCAGUAAUAUUGAUGAAUUUUUCACUUCUUGGAUUAAAUACCCAAUAAUCUGUAAAGAUUCGUGUUCUUGAAAACUAAGGUUACCUAGCAAUUCAGUGGCGGAUCUAGAAAAUAUUUUGAGUGGAGACAAAAAAUAAUAAAUUAAUUAAUAUAUUUUUAAUAAAAUAUAUAUGUAUAUAUUUUUUAUAUUUGAUAAUGUUAUAUAAAUUUUAUAUAUUUCAAAAGAAGAAAAUAAACUAAUAAAAUGAUACCAAAAAAAUAUAUUAAAGGAAGAGAAAUGAUUUAUCAAGCUACCAAAACUAUUUGGUAAAAAAUUACUAAAUACAAAAUUGAUUUUGAAUUGAAAAGAACCAAAGAACCAAUGAAUUAAAAAAAACUAUAAGAAUGCAACGUAAGAAAAAUUAAUAAUAAUAUGAUAGCUGGCCCAAAGAAUCAAAAAAAUAAAUUAAAAACAGUAAAACCGAUGAACAAAAAAACUAAAAGAAAGCAAGGUGAGGAAAAAGAGAAUAUAUAUACUAUUAUUUAUGAAGUGAUUUUGCUGAUUUGUCACAUUCUUCAUGAUUUUAGAUAAUUUUUGCUUAUUUGUCAUAUUCUUAUUAUUUUUAACUUAAAUAUUUAAUUUAUUAACUGAAAUAAUAUAACUAUUUCGAAAUUUCUAAUUAAUUUAUUAAUUUAAAUAAUAUAACUAUGAUUUUUCUGAUUUGUCACAUUCUCCAUGAUUUUAUCUAAUUUUGUUUAUUUGUCAUAUUCUUAUUAGUUUUAGUUUAAUUAAUUAAUUUAUUAAUUUAAAUAAUAUAACUAUUUUCAAAAUUUCUAAUUAAUUAAUUAAUUUAAAUAAUAUAACUAUUUCAAAAUUUCUAACUGGAACUGUAAUUAUAAUAUUUUAACUUUCAAAAGUUUCUUAUUAUUCUUAAGCUUUAUGAAGUGAUUUUCCUGAUUUGUCACAUUAUCCAUGAUUUAGAUAAUUUUUGCUUAUUUGUCAUAUUCUUAUUAUUUUUAAAUUAAAUAUUUAAUUGAUUAACUGAAAUAAUAUAACUAUUUCGAAAUUUCUAAUUAAUUUAUUAAUCUAUCUAUAUUAUUAUUUAUGAAGUGAUUUAGCUUAUUUGUCAUUAUUUCCAUGAUUUUAAGUAAUUUUGCUUAUUUGUCAUGUUUUAAUUAUGUUUAAGCUGAGUUAUUAAUUUAUUAAUAGUUUUAAUUGAGUCCAUAAUUUAUUAAUUUAAAUAAUAUAACUAUAAAAUAUGUAAUUAAAUAUAUAAUUAUUUUGAUUUUGCUUAUUUUGCUUAUUUGUCAUGUAUAAAUGAUAAUAAAUAAUUUAAUAACAUUUAAUGACUUUUAGUGAUAAAACCCCUCAACUAAAGAUGAAUCGUAAAAAAAAACCCUCAACUAAAAAUCCAGUGAAAUAAACCCUCAAUUUAUAAACCGUUAACAUAUGUCACCCUCCGUCACGGUUUUUUAGACGGAGGGUAACAUAUUAUAUUUAAAAGUUAAGAGAAUUCUUAUAUAUAUUGUGUUGCUAUUUGAAAACAAUAUUUUUAUUAUAAAUUUAAAAAAUUAAGAUAUAAAAUAAUUUAUAAUUAAAUAUUAGUCAAACAAAAAUAUUUAUAUAAAUAUAUUUUAUAAACUAUUUCUAAUAUAUGAGUGUUUAAAACUUUUAACACAAUGAUAAGUACAUAGUUUGAUGAAUGUUUUUUUGAUAUAUAUAAAUAAUUUCAUGUUUGAUUUAACUAUUUAAAAUUAUAAAUAAUAAUUUAACUUGUGACUGAGUUUAAAACAAAUUUUCUUGCUUUUACUUUAAACCAGUUUAAGUUUAAUCCCUAAAAUAAUAUAGCUUUAGUUGGUGUCCACUAGAGAAUGAAUAAAAUAAAAAAUAAAAUUUCAUUUGAGGAAUUGAAACAAUAAAAAAAUAUGAAUUUUUGUUCAACUUUUUCCUUAUCAAAAUUGCUUACAGAAAUUUUUUCUUGUAAAUUUUUCCUCCAUGGAGAAUUUAAAAGAAAAAAGUGGGAUCUACUUUUCAAUAAUUUGACUAAAAUUUCAACAUAACUGGUAUAAAUUUUGAGUAAUAAAGAAAUAAAAUAAUAAAUAUUCGUAAGAUGAUUAUGCCCGCAUGUACGGGUAAAACAGUUAGUAAUAAGUAAUCAAAAAGGAAAAUUAGAAAAAAUAAUAAAAUCGGGUAAAACGUUUUGACGGGGAUUUGAUCGGUGGUUUAGUGGGUGCAUAAUGAGGGAUGGGACAAAUUUUGGUUUCACUAUUAUUUGUGCAAAUAAAAUAGAUGAAUAGAAUUACACAUAUCUUACAUGUGUUUGUUUGAAUUUUACGUUUAAAGUAUUUUCAGUUCGUCUAUGUUUAUCAUUACUACUAGGUAUUAUGUCCGCACAUGCGGGCAUAGUGUUUUUAAAGAUAUUUAUUAGUUUAUAAUUAUUAAAUCAAAAACCAGUAUAAUAAAUUAUUAAUUAUGUUUUAAAAAAUAGAUCAAUCAUUAAAAUUUAUACUUUAUAAUAAAAGAAUAUUAUUUUAGAUAUAUAUUUAAGAAUUAUCUUAUGUUUUAUUGAAAUUCAUUUUUAAUUAUUUAUAUUUUAGAUAAUUUUGAUUAUUAUUAAUUUUAAUCAUUUAUUUAAUCAGAUAGGAUUAAAAUUCGUUUUUAUUUUUGACUAAUUUAUAUAAUUGAUUCAUUAAGGGUAUAAACGAUAUUAACCGCUCUAGCUUUUAACGUGAAAGCUCGAUUCCAAAAAUUUACUUCGUAAAUAAUAGUAUAGAUUAAAUAUAAAAUCAAUAAAAUAAUUAAAUAUUAAAAAAAUAAAAAGAAAAAAAAAUUGAAGAUAUAGUAAAACAAAACAAAAGUAAAAUAAAAUAGAUAUGUUAAAACGAAUUUGGAUAAUAGGAAAAUAAAAACUUGUAUAAUGGUAAAAUAACCAAGAAUUGUGGAUUAAAAUGUUGAUAACUAUAAAAUAUAGUAAAAGCGUUAGAAUAUUAUUUCGGUUAGACUUUAAUCAUUAUAUUAAUAAUUUUUAGAAAUUAAAAACUUCAAAAUUCAUAUUUAGGAAAUAUAUCUUAUUGAAAAAAAAUUCGUGAUUUAUUUCAUAUAUGAUUUUUUGGAUCAUCUUUAGAAAGUCAUGAUUUUAAAUGGGUUUAUCAUUAAUUAUCAUAAUAAUUAAAAUUUAGAGCUUCACUAAUUACCAUCUACUACAUUCUACCAAAAAAAAUUUCGUUGAAAUAAUCAACAACCAAAAAACCAAUCUUUAUAAUCUUCCCCAUAUGCAAAUUUUUGGCUUAUAUUUUUAAAACCAUAUUAAUUUCAGUUUACUUUAUUAUAUAUGAAUAUAUAUUAUAUAAAAUUUAACUUGUUAUGAUUAUGAAACCUUAUAAACCCUAUUCAAUCAUGAAUAUAAUAGAUCAUAUUCAACAUUGUUAUAACUAUGGAACCAUUUUAUUAUUAGUGGUGGUUUAUAUUUGUGAAUCCGAUCAAUAUGUACAUAUGUAUAUAUAUGAAAAGUUUAUUUAAACUACUCGACUAAGUUCAUACACAGUCUGUUAAUCCAAUUUUUAAAUAUAGUAAACCAAUAGUAAAUAAUGUAAAACCUCUAUUUUUUUUUGAACACAAGCAGUAAAAAUUCUAUAAAUUAAUAAUGUUAGGACUUUGAAAUUUUAUUAAUUUAUAAAGUAUUAAUUUACAAAAAAAUUCUGUAGAUUUUUUAUUUUAAGAUAAGAAAAAUAUUUGAUUUUACUAUAUAGACAUUAACUGUUAUUUUUAAAAAUUUGACACUUAUAUUAAUUUAAUUGUAUUAUUUGGUGUAUAUAAUAUAUAUUGCAUAGAACUUAAAUGUGGUUUAAGAUAUAAUAUUACUAAAUCUCAUCAAAUAAUAUAAUAAUAGGUUCUUACAUAUAUAAAAUAUGUAUACAUAUAAAUUAUUAAUUUAUAAUUUUAGUAGGAUCAUAUAUUUAAAUAAAAUUUUCUAAAAAAAUAUUAUUUUAUCAAUUUGUGUCAAAUUUUGAACAGAUCUAAGUUGGGACCAGCGAAAUUGAAAUUAUUAAUUUAUCGAGUUUUAGUUUAUAAAAGUUCUACUGUAUGUAGUAUAGAUACGGUGGGAACGCUACUUCAAAACUUUAAAACAAAAUUAUUUGUUUAGAUACUGGUUUUGCUAAAAAGAAGUACGUGAGACGGCCGCUAAGUGACGUACCCGUGCAACCUAGACCAUACAUAAAGAAUAUCAACAAAACUCUAGAAUCAGUUAUCACUGGUAGAUGAAAAAAGCUCAAAAUAACUUGCUCUUCAUUUGCAAAAAAAAAACUCACUCUUAUCUUUUUAGAAGAAUUAUUGUUUCCAAAUUCUUUGAUUUCAGGUUUAGUAUGCAUCAGAGAUUGAAAGUUUAGUAUGCAUCAGGUUUUCACGUUCUGAAUAUAAGCUCAUGAAAAAAGAGCUUGUUCGUGCUUGACAUAACAUGGAGUAGAAGGAGUGCUGAUGAUGUUCGUGUUACAUCUGAGGAAUGACAGUUAUUGAAGACCCACGACGGGCAGGUAUGAACAAGCAAAUUCAUGUCCAUAAAUUUGCGGGUCUCGCGGGUGAAACCUAUGCUGCUUGCGGGUGGGUGGAUAGAGUCCAUGACGGGUCCGCAGAUUGUCCGCACAAAAUAAAUUAAUUUUCAGUCGGCUUCGUUCGGUGGAUCUUUUAUUCAUUCCAAUUCAGAAUCAGUCACCAUGGUUUUUCAGUUUGGACUUCUGCAUGUUAUCUCUUGAGUAGGUAGAAUGGUGAAGUUUGUUUGCAUGUUCUUCAAUGGAGGAAGCACAUGAAGAGGUCCUCUCGAAGCAUGAUGGUGGAAAGCAGUGGCGGACCUAGCCUUAAUUCUAAAUGCGGUCAAUAUACUGUUUAAGUGAAAAAUACAUGUAAAAAUGGUCAAGAUGGAUUGGAACCUAGAAUUUUUGGGGUUUGUUUGGUAGAAGUUACCAUCUGAGCUACUACUUCUAUAAGCAAUAUAAGCACAAAACACAUUUUAUUAAAUUUUUAGGUGCCAUUUGACACUUUUCUUUUCUUUGUGGAUCCGCCCCCUUGUGAAAAACUUGUUAUUUAGAAAGUAUUAGUAAAAAAUAGAUUUUUAAUGAUUUUAAGAAUAUAUAUAUAUAUAAAUAAUAUAGUGUUAUUGGCUUAAAUAUUUUCAUAUUCUUUCUAAAAUUUAUUGCUAUUGGUAUGAUGAUUCUAUAAUCCUAUACAAAUCUUUUGUUAUUUAAAAAGUUUAUAUUUUAAAGAUUCUACAAAUCUAUUAAAAUUAGUGUUAUUGGGAGUUGUAUUCUUAACAAUUAACUUAUGAAACAAUAUUUAAAGAAUACUACAUACUCCCUCUGUAUCAGUUUAACUAGUGUUUAAGGAUUUUGAUUUUGUUUCAAAAUAAGUGAUGUUUUCACAAUUCUAGGUGAAAUUUAAUGUCAUUUAAAAUUUUGACCAAUUAUAAAAAUACUAUAUCUUUUUCUUAUUGGUUGAAUUAGUUUUAUUUAAUGUUAUUUUAUGUAACCAAAACCAAAUACAUAAAAGUUUGUAUUUUCUUAAUAUAUGUGCAAAAACCUUAAACACCUCUUAAAAUGAUACAUAGGGAGUAUAUCCAACUUUACUGCAUGCUUUCCUUCAGUUUCUUGUCCAUCUUUCUGAGUUAAUUAUUAAAUAAAAACAAAACAUCAAUUAGUCUAUGCCUAGCAUCACUAUUAAACACGAAAUCAAUGAAACCGGUAAGUGCAAAAAUCAAAAUAUAAGCAAAAAUUAAACAGAUUCAAAGAUAAACUUGAGAAAAUAAAAAAAAUGUAAAACAAAAAAAUAUUAUAAACAAAAUUAGAUAGUUGUAGAAGAAGAACUGCACUCCAAAUAAAAUAAUAACAAAGAAUUGUGGGUUGAUCUGAAAUCAUAGUAAAAUAUUUCAAUGAUAACAUUGAGAAUAUCAAAGCACAACUAUGGUUAUUUUUAAGAGAUGUAUAAUAGCAUUAUGUAGUAAACAUGCAAUGCCUAGCUUGUAUGUACUGUUAGUUAUAUAUGAUUAAUUGAUGAACAAGAUUGGAGUCACUCUAGUACCUCCAUCUUGAGGGGGUGUAUAGGAGAUAUAUGAUUAGGGUCAUUAUUGUAAUUAGUUAAUACCUAAUGACUUCUGUAUUAUGUAUAAAUACUGUACUCAUACGUAUCAAUAAAGUAUUAAGCCUGUAUUCAUCGUAUUAUAAUAAAUUUACUUACUUUUACUUUCAUCUAUGACUGAUUUACAGGCUUUACUGUAGCCAUCUUUGCCUAAUUGCACCUUUGUUAACAAUCUGAUCUUUAUCAAUUUUCCAUCCAUUUUCCAAAAUUUUCUUCAUCUUUGAGUGAUUUUGUGUUGUUUUCUCUAUUUUUUUUUUUAAAUUCUCCGUACAGAUUAAUUUCACUGUGUUAUGUCUCUAUUUAUAACCUUCUUGGUUUCUCCAAAUGCGUUGCUUCACUUUGAAGCUUAUGCAUAACUAUUUUUGCAUUGUUGAACUUAAAACACUUUACUUCACGAUGAUUUACUAGUUAUCUUCCAGUAACCAGAACUAGUUGUCCGGCUCUGCUUAUUAGUGUUGCGGUACUGAUUGCCUCUGUCGGAGAAGAAGUACCAGGCAAAGUCCCUGGAUUUAACCCUCGAUAGGGCUUCCAAGAAAGCAAAAUACCAUGGAUCAAAAAUUAUACCAAAAGCAAAUAAAUUAGAAUACGAUCAAUUCAUGGUGUAGUCAUUUAUCAAAAACUUUUUAAAAAGUUAAAAAUGAUUACAUUGGUUAUGAGUUUAAUAUAACUCUAAGUUACUUACCUUUGUUGAAAUAAUAUGUCGCUAUCUCGCUGUAGAUUUCUUUGCCCGACUCUAUAAAUAUUGCUUUGUUAGCAAAUGUCUCUAACAAAAUCUCAACAUUCCUUCUUUGUUAUAUUGAUAUUUUUUUUUUCAAUUAUCUAUGUGUUUUCGUGAUUUUUUUCUUCUUGUAAUUACACAAUGUUGUCUCUAUUUAUAAUCUAAUUAGUUUCCUCAAAAUGUAUUGCUUAUUUUUGAAGUUAUACAUCAUACCAUCUUUUGUUUGGUUUAAUUAACAAUGUUUACUUUAUGAUAAAUUACGUACUAGUUUCUUAAUUUAAAAUAUAUGAAUACAAUUACACAUGUCUUACAUGUGUUUUGUUUGAAUUUUGAUUCAAAAUAUUUUCCGUUCGUCUAUCUUUACAUUACCAUUUAAUAUAAAAUCAAUAAAAGAGUUAAAUAUAAAAUUUAAAAAACUUAAGAAAAUUAAAAGCAAAAACAUAUAUAUAUAUAUAUAUAUAUAUAUAUUUAUUUAUUUAUAUUUAAAAGCAAAUACAAAUAUAGACAACACUGUGUAAUCCUAAUAAGGCAGAUAGAAUUGUCGGCUGUAAUAUAUUUAUGUAAUAUUUCUCAUAAUUUGUAUUAACAUAAUUAACCAGACAAAAAUGAAGUCUAUUACUUGAAAAUGAAGCAAUACAUUAAUGGAAAUUACUUAUGUUAUAAAUAGAUAGAUAAGUCUAUGAUAUAUAUAUAUAUAUAUAUUAAAAUAAAUAAGAAUUAUUGACUUAUAUUAUCAUAGAAAAAAUCUGAGUUUUAUAGAUUGGCUAAAAAAAUUUAUAUAUAGGUUUAUUAAAACUAACAUUAAAUUUUGUUGUUGUAAAUUUAACAAUGGAAAAAUGCAGUUAUAAAAAAAAACAGGUUCAAACUCUUUAGUUAACAACUAUAAUUUAGCAACUAUAAUUCAAACAGGUUAAAAGAGACUAAUUAACUUGGUUAGUGUAAACAUACGAAAUGAAAAGUAUAUUACUUUAAAUUGAAGCAAUACAUUAAUGGAAAUUUCUUAGGUUAUAAAUAGAUAGAUAAUAACUCAAAGAAAAAUAAACUACAAAGAGAAAAAUAAAAAAAAAGGUCAACAUGAGAAUGAACUUGUGGGAGCCUGUUAGAAAAGUUUUUUGUGCUAACAAAGAAGCUAUCUGUGUGGAGAGUCAACAUGCAUAUAGAAAUAUGAAGGAAUAAAUGGUAGUAGAGGAAAUAAAGAAGAUGGUGGAAAGAAGAAGGGAUGAAGUUGAAGCUUCAACUUCAGUAAAAACUACUUUCAAGAAUUAAGUUAAAGAAAUAAUAUAAUGCGUAUUAAGUAUGUGUGAUUAAUUGCUGUCUUUUUUUCUUUCUGUCUUAAUGAAAUACUAGAUUUUGACCCGCGCUUUUAAAGCGCGGGAUGUUUAUUGAUGAAAAAUUAUAUUAAAGAAGUUACUAAUUUUUGUAGAUUUGUAAGAAUUUUUUUCUAUUUAAAUUAGUGCUUUUAAACCAAAUCGAGACCCGCAUGUUAACCCAUUUGAUAUGUAAUCCAAUUUGGAUCUUAAUAAAUAUUCAUUAUUUUAAAACCUUAUAAAAUCUGAAAAUGUUAAGGCCUGAGGCUAACCAGUUAAACCGAUGGGUGACCGAUAUGUAAUCCAAUUUUAUUUUAUAUUUUUGACAGCACUUUGAUUUGAAUUUUUUUUUAAAAAAAAUUAAAAACUUAUUUAUUUUAACCUAAUUGUAUUUUUAUUAUCUGAUAACUACAAUUUGUUAUAAUUUGUUUUAGAUAUCUAUUUAUAUCUAUAAAAUAUAAUGAAAAACUAUUUUAAAAUUUUACUAUAUUUUUAAACAUGAUUUUUGUAUUUUAAUAUUAAUAUAUGUAUUUGUAUAUUAAAAUGAAAUAAAUUAUUGACCAAUGGCUCACCCGCGGUCAUCCUAAUAACCUAAUGACCAAAAAUAUUCCGGUUCAGUGUCGGGUUUAAAAACUUUAAUUUAACCAUAUUUUACUUUUAUAUUUUCUUAUAAUGUCAUUCAUUAAAUUUUAGGAAAAAGAUAUAUGAUUUAUAUACUAAAUCUUUGUAUUGAUUAUAUCCCAAAAGUUAAUAGAAUGUAUUGGCUGCCUCCAAUUAUAAUGGUAUAAUCCAGUAUUAGAGAUAAAUAAACAUUUAUAUUUUAUGGUUAACUAAUUUAGAGCCACGGUUUAGAUUUGAGCGGUGAAAUUUUGGAGCGGGAUGAAGUAUAGGAUGUUAAUAGAAUUGUGGUAAAAAAAAGGAUGUUAAUAGAUAAAUAAUAUAUAUUUAAAACAUUAAAUAAGAAUUUUAAACAUAGUUUAAAAAAGAAUUCUAAAAUUUCAAAAUAAAAUUUAUUUAUUUAUUUUAAAUAGUAUAAGGUUGUCAAUUUUGGUAUAACAUAUAGUUUGAAAAAAAAAAUUCACUUAGACACAAGUUAGCUCCAAUUUUGUGCUUCUAUUUUAAGAAUUAAUGAUUUUGACACCCAUUUCCAAAUAUGGAAUUAAUUAUUCUUUGUCGAAAAUUUUAAUUUUUAAUUAAAAUGUGUACAUACUAUAUAUUUAAUUUUUCAGUGUGCAUAAAUUUCUCUUGGCGACAUAUAAGUAAAAAAGUAUAUAAAUGUUGAAUUAUUUAUUAUUAUAUUGUUUUUAAACUGUUAUAUAUUAUAUUGUAAUUUUUUUGAUUAUAUGUUUUCAUAUAAUUUUAUCCCAUUCCAUCUAAUGAAAUUUACAAAACAUUGUUUUAAAAUGAGCUAUUGUUAGAAGUGGGUGCUGACAUAAUAAAAUUGUAAUGAAUAAUGAGGUAUUUAAUAUGCAGCAGAUUUAUAUAAGAGAAAUUCUUUUGUAUAGCUUUUUUUGUUUAUUUUCAGAAAAUAGCUAUUAAGGAGGAAAAUGACCAAAAGAAGAGUAAAUAUGCACUUAUAUCCCUAUAAUUAACUAAUUUAGACUUAUGGUUUAGAGUUAGAGGGUGGAAUUUCAAAUUUAAAAAAAAAACUAUAAAUUUUUCAAAAUAAAAAUUAUUAUUUUGAUCAUUUUAUUUUUUUGAAUAUUAUUUUUGUGACAAAAACUUAAAGUGGACUAUUUGAGAGAAUUUUCCUUUAUAUAACUUCUACAUAAAUUUAUGAUUAAAAGUAUUUUAAGUUGUGAUUUUUUUUUGUUGACCAAAAAAAAAGAACAUUAGUUAAACAGAACAAUUCAAGUGGAGACUUAUGAGACCCAUUAAUAAAAACUGAUAUAUAUAUAUAUAUAUGUAGUUUCCUAAAAAUAUCUCUAGACAUAAAUCUUAAUAACUAAAAUUAUUAAAAGAAAACAAAUACUAUAAUUAAAUGGUACACUUAUAAAUACUAAAGCAAAUGAAGAAGACCUAAAAAUGGUUUAUAUUUUAAUAGUAUAGAUAUUAGAUUUUGUUGUGAGCAGAUGAAGAAAAGUAAAAUAUUAGUGAAUGAUUUUCUAUUCUCCAACUUGAACCAUCCUCUCCAACCGAUUGAGAUAUGAUUUCUAACAAAUGAUAAGAAUGAUUGUAGGACUAUUAUCAAGAAAAUAGUAAGAAGUUUUUUUUUUUUGGAAUAAAUAUAGUAAGAAGUUAAUGAAUCCACUUACAUUCUUAUAUGCAAUUAAUAUAAUCUCUAACAUUUCACCAGAUUAUGCAGUGUCAGUUUCCGAAUAUGUAGAGGACGUUUUACUUGGAUUCACCAAAGCUAUAUUGAGUUCCCGGAGUUUGAUAAAAUUAAUUGGGGCAGGUUUAUAUUUAUAUGAAUUGUGUACGAUAUGGUUCCGAUUAGAGUUAAAUUAAAAUAGAUAUAUUUUCAAUUUAUUUGAAAGAUUUGCGGCUACAAAUCUUGGUAUAAUUUAUAUAACACAUGUCAAUUAUAUUAAAUGGUUUUCUGGUGCAAAUUUGAAAAUGUUUAGAAUAUAAUGAAAUUAGUAAUCUCUUUUAUUUCCAGUUCCAGAUUUUGUGUUGAUCACACAUCCACAAUC